Molecule: long non-coding RNA, 58687 nt
Filed under: Sorghum bicolor (sorghum)
Lineage: Eukaryota; Viridiplantae; Streptophyta; Magnoliopsida; Poales; Poaceae
Description: long non-coding RNA (SBIC_LNC007590)
Source: RNAcentral
UGGAAGGAAAGUAUAUGUUAUAUGGAUGUAAAUAAGUACUUCUUUGCUCUGUGAAUAACCAGAGCAAACUCCAAUGCCAUAUAUAUUACACAUACAUGAUAGCCGGAGCUUGCAUUCACAUAUAUGUUCCUCACCCAACGCUAGUUGCAGUAGUUUUUUCUAGCAGGUAUAUGUAGGGGGAGAGAUCGAUCGAGAUGGAUGAUGCCAACAAUGGAUACAUCAGCAGCAUAUAUAGAAGCAAAGGAACCAACAGCAGCAAAAGGUGAAAAAAAGAAGAAGAAAGAAACCAAGGUGUGUGUGUGACCCCAAGGAUGCAAAACCGAACGAACAGGUUGAGAGGCAGCAGCAGGCAGCCAUAUGCCAUUAGCUCACGCAGGAGCUAGCUAGCAGUUUAAUCACUCGCUGCCCGCGGGCUUGUAGGCGAUGAAGCUGACGCACUGCGUCUGCUUGAUGUUGUCGAAGCCGAGGAUCCGGACGUAGGCGUCCGGGUAGGAGGCGAUGGCCUCCUGCAGCUCCUUGUAGACCUGCGACGCGUCGGUGCAGCCGAACAUGGGCAGCUUCCACAUGGUCCAGUAGCGGCCGUCGUAGUAGCACGGGGAGGUGGAGUUCUCGCGGUACACGAAGCCUUCCUUGCUGAACUCGAGGCAGGGCACCCAGUUGUUGCGCAGCAGGUAGUCCACCUGCUUCAGCAGCUGCUCCUCCGUCAGCGGCGGCAGGUACGACAGCGUCUCGAACUUCUUGUUCCCGUACGCCGGCCACACCUGCAAAUUAAUGCAUGCAUCGAUCGAUGUACGUGUUUGUGGUUGCAUUUCGCUAGCUCUGCUGCAAAGAAUGAAUGAAGAUGGCCGGCCGGAGCCAAGAACGAAAGGCCAACUAGCUCUUGUGUUAAUUAUGUUGUUAUUACCUGCAUGCACCGGAUCCUGCCGCCGUUGCUGACUUUGGCGAGGCUGGUGGUGGAGCGGCGGGCGACGGGGAGGGUGGCGGUGGACUUGAGACCCUGGAACGGAGCGACGGCGGUGGCGGACGAGGCCAUCACGGUGGGCGCCAUUGCUGCUGCUAUGUAGUACUAGUAGCUAGUGAGGGAGCGAGCUGAGAGUGAGCUGCUUGCUGUUUUUGCUGCUUCUUGCUGCUUGGGUCGUCCUGUAGGCUCCCCCACCGAGGGCAUAUAUAGAAGAGGCAGCGAGCGUGCGUCCAUGGCGACGGAUGGCUGUCGUUGGGGCAAGGACGGAUCGGACGAAUGAAGCGGAUGUGGGAGGAGUGGCCACCGUUGUCCCAUGGCGGGCAACCCGGCCAGCCUGGCCUAUCCUGAUCGCGUCCGCCGCCACAUGUCGCGUCCCCGUGGCGCGCCUUAUCGUCUCAGCCAGCCAACAUGUCCAUGGAGCCACGCCACGCCACGCCAUGGUUGGACUAUAUGUGAUGUGCCACCACUUUAAUUAUUUGUAGAUAGAUAGAUAGAUAGAUAAGCUAGCCGCAGGUAGUAGUGCAGUGGUGAAAGUCACUACUACUGACUGCAAACCAAAAUUUCCCUGGCCGUGCCCGGACUCGCUCGCUGUCUCCGAUUAAACCUAGGUAUAUGUUGAGCAGGACGUCCCCUGGCCGUCGCCAUGGCCGGACUCGCUCGAUCUCUAGGAUCCGAGGUGGUCCUGCUCUGCUCCGUCGUCGGCGAAGAUGAAGACACACCCACUCGUCGUCCCCUUCCUCAUGCAAAUCUGCGCCGCACAAGCUGUUUCCAAAAUUUCGCUGGCCGUGGCCGGACUCGCUCGCUAUCUAUCUCCGGUCUCCCGUCGCCGAUCAAACCGAUCGAGCAGGACGUCGCCGCCGUGGCCGGACUCGCCCUCUAGCUCGUCGUCCACGAUCGAGCCAGGAUCCGGCCGAGGUGGUCGUGGUCCUGCUGCUCGGUCGGUGAAUGACUGACUCGUCCCCUUCCUCCUGCUGCAAAUCUCCGCCGGACGCAUGCAUCCGCCGUCUCUCUCAAGCAGAAGCAGUUCCAUUCAGCUCGAUCGUCGUGGUUUGUGAAAGGAUAAGUGAAGAACGACGACAAUGGAAGGGGAAAAAAAGACAAACAGUUUUGGGCUUGGGCUUGCUUCGGCUGCGUCUGCUUGCUCUUCGCCUCUAGUGCUCUCGUCCCUCUCACAUGUUCUACUACAUUCUACACGGACGGCUGCUCCGGACCACCUGAUGAUGCACUGAUGAUCACGGCCUGUUUGGAUCUAUAGAAUUAAUUGGGCUGAAUUUGGAAUCAGUUUCAUGGGUCUCGGCUAGUUUGGCUGCGCAUUGAACUGGAAAGUGACAUUCCAAGCUGUUCCAGAGCCUGAAUUUGUGGCCUAGCUACCUCAAAUUCAUGGGCUAUCCAAGACAAAACGAGUCCGCCUCCUCAUUGUCUUCAUCGGGCGUACGACGCUUCAUUCCUCAACCAUUUGACCUGUUCUAUAUUUCUAAAAAGAAAAGCCGCCCGCCUUGACCAUUACGAAAAAUACAUAAACGAUUCGCUAAAGUUGCAUUUAAAUUCCCCACGUUUGUCAUUUCUAAAGAUAAAUUUAAAAAGCCUUCUAAAUUGCAAUUAAUUACCGAAACAUGCCUAAAAAUGCGUCUGCAUUUUUUUUUACUAUGAAAGGUACUAGACACAUAUUCACGCAUUGCCGCGGGAUUUUCUUAAAAAUAAUCUGUUUUGUAUAUAGCAAUGCUAUAUGGUAUUCUGUAUAUUGUGUGUAUAUUUAUGAAUUUGACUUGCAUGUUAUUUUAUUGUAUCGGAUCUAGUAAAAAAACAAUAAGCUAAUAGAAAAAACCAAUAAAAUAGUUGAUUGCGUUAUACAAGAAUAGGUGAUGAAACAAAUAACAUAUGUAAAUAACUUUACAUCUACAUAAUAGAGAUGAUGAGGAUAUUUUUUGUAAUUAAUAAGGGAUGACAUUUACGUUAAUAGGUUAGAGAUUAAAAGUAUUGCACAUAAUAAAGAUGAUGUGAAUAUAUUUUAUAAUUAAUAAGAGAUAUUGUGUAAUUCGAAAAAAAGGAUGCAUGACAUGGAUAGCUUGCAUGAAAGGAUUGCAAGUUAGUGGGACACUUAUGGGGUGUUUGAAUCUUGGGACUAAAGUUUAGUCCUUGUCAUAUGUUGGGUACUAAUUAGUAGAAUUAGACAUGAGCUAAUUAUAAAACUAAUUACAUAAGUUGUGGCUAAUUCACAAGAAAAAUCUAUUAAGCCUAAUUAAUCCAUUGUUAACACAUGUUUACUGUAGCACCACAUUGUAAAAUCAUACACUAAUUAGGCUUAAUAGAUUCGUCUCAUAAAUUAGCUACAAUCUAUGUAAUGAGUUUUGUAACUAGUGUAUAUUUAAUAAUACUCUAAAUUAGUAUACAAACAUCCAAUGUGAUAGAAACUAAAGUGAGGGAUGAUAUUAACACCUUGCAUUCAGAGAGAAAACAUCUAGUCGGGUCCAGCUUUAUAAAAGUAUAUAGAUUACAAAGUAACACUAAAUGUGCCUUUUUAGAUUACAUAUAUCUAAACAAUGUAAAUACGCCACAAAUGUUUGUCUUACCUAUAAUAUAUAUUGUACAAAAUAAUUCAGUAACCAUAAAAAUAUGCUAUAUAUAUUUCUAUACACAUUCUACCAUUGUAAAAUUAAAAGUAAGCAUUAAUGCUACGGGUCAUCAUGUAGACAAAGUAAACAUGCUAUUGAUACGAUAAACAAUUUACAAUGAGUCAUCUAGCCAUUUUUCUGGCUAGGAACUCAACGAAAUGGGCAAAACAGCUAUUUAAAUGGGCGUCAAUGGUCGAAUAAACAGAAAUGACAGACCACCAUGCAAUGUUCAAAUGAGGUUUAAGCAGGCUAAGUGAUGGUUUACUCGAACCAUGGUACAAACAUAGCAAAAAACAAAAAAAAACAUUACAACAAGCAUUAGAAAAAACAUAUAGCUUGUUUCUACUGUCCCACCGCAAAAACCACCUAAAGCUAUGAUUAAGCUUUUCAAAAUUUAGGGAUUUUUUUGUAAAUAAAACUGACCCUGUAAAUAUUUUUCAAAACCAAGAACUAAAAUGUUGUAGUUCUUACCUCCAAAUAAUUACAGAAAAGCUUAGAGGUCUUUUUUGUAAAAUUGUCAUUUUCAAAAUGAUUUUAAAUCUAAAAAUGUUAUGACAUAAUCAAUUGGAUUAAUGACAUUAGCAUAUAUUUUUGAAAUGAAUUAAUCAUUUCAUAAGAGAAAUAAUUUGGUUAGGGACUUGUUUGUAAAUAACCUUAGAUAUCUAGAUGGCAAUAGCUCCGCCGGUCUUUUGCCAAAAUAGUGCUUUGGCGGUUGUGAUCAUCAGCAAGCGAUAGAGAUAGCUGAGCAAGCCACGAUGAACAAGGGGAGGUUACCUUUAUAAUGAAGAGGCACAAGAGGAGGAGAUAGGGAGGGUGGUUAGCACCUCUGCUUGAGGUUGGCGGCGGCACAACUGCACAACGAUAGAGGCUGGGCAAUGGGUGGCACACUAGAGUGAGAUUGCUCGGGUGGAGGAAUCUUAUAUAUGGUGGUGGUGGAAUUUCUUGAGGACGCCGGAGAUGGGAGAAAAAGGUUGCUGAAGUCUUGCUAGAAAAAUCGCUAGCAAAAAGUCUUGUUUUAGAUCUAUAGAGUUUUUGGUGAUGCCUCAAGAAAUGGAUUCUAGAUCUGUGAUCAUCGCGAUGAGGACAAAAGGUUCUAGGAAAAGUACUAGAGAUAGAAGGAUGAGAAACUAAGAUUUUAGAGAUCAUUAGAAGUUUUGUUUCAAAGCUUAAAAUUUUAAAAUAUUAGUCUUAAUGGUAGGAGGAAUUGAUAAAUAUUACUCAAGUUAAGUCCUUCUACCCCGGUAUGUAUUCUACCACUGGAUUUUAACUUAUUUGGUUGAUUGCUCUCCCCACCGGACACGUCAGCCUAUACCCUUUCAUGUAGAGAAACACUAGUGUUUGCUAAAGGAAUAUUGAUAUGGAAACUUUUUUUCACCGUUUUACAUACCCGACGAAACACACACCCACGCACCCCAUGACCCAUGAGCCCGCCAUGGCCAACGGCCCAUAAGUGUCGCCGUUGUUGAUAAAGACGAGCUCGCUGGUGUUAGGGUUCUAGGUUUAGGGGACUCCAUGUCCGGCGGCCUUACAAAGGGAAGGGAGCUAGCGGUGGCGGCUAGCCUUGCGGUGGUAGCGGGUUGAUGUAGCAAGCAAGGUGGUGGGGGUGUUAUCGAUCGGAAGGUGGGAGACAACCGGUUGGCGGGGGCGAAGGUCAAGUGUCUUCCUCCUCGUGCUAAGAUUAGCGGAGGGUGAGGUGGUGUGAUGGGGCGGGCCAGCCGCGGCGGAGGCGCCACUGGCCGAGGCGGUGGGCGUGGAACUGUGGAAGGUGGAGGUGGGGUGUGAGCAGGGUUUAGAAAGAUGACGAGGUUGGAGCGGAGGUUAACGAAGAAUAACACAGGACGGGAUGGGGUAGCGCGUGAACCCGUCACGCAUUAACGUGGUCCCUUCAACAUGAGGAGCAGAUCGAGCGCCCAUCACGGCGUGGAUGCGCUCGGCUGUCUUGCACUCUCGCCGUCGCUGUCGUCGUUUGUCCGACGCCCUGAAUAGUAAAUCCUUCCCGGGUUAAACUAAUCGACUCGCCAUCUCCGUUCUCCCGUCGUCCCCGAUUAAACCGAGGUAUAUAUUGUGACUUACAGGACGUGGUGGGCGUGUCCGUGGCCGGACUCGCUCGCUAGCUGCUCGAUCGUGCACGAGCCAGGAUCCGACGAGGUGGUCCUGCUCCGUCGGUGAAGACUCCUCUACUCGUCCCCUUCCUCGUGCAAACCUGCGCCGCACAAGCUCAGCCGUAAGCUGCUCAGGCUGCCGUAAGACGCCGCAUGCAUCCGCCGUCUCUAUCAACUCUCAACCAGAUAGGCUCGUCGUCGUUUGUGAAAGGAUAUAAGUUAAGGACGCCAUGGGCAAAGGACAAAGGAAAUUAAAAGAUAUUUAUUUCAGUUUUGGGCCUUGGACGUACUUUCAGCUGCGUCUGCUUGCUAUUGUAGUCUGGCCUCUCUCACCUGUGGUGUGGGUGCCGCUUGUCGUGACUAUCGAUCUUCCUUGAUAUUGCUAAUUGGCACGACUCAAGCAGAAGAACAAGACAAAAAAAAGUUCACACACAACUUCCUUGUCGUGAUUAUCUUCAUUAAUAUUGCUACUUGGAGGCUUCUCAGUAUAUCUACGUCAAUCCUUAUGAGAUGCGGAAGGAAAAUUGACAAAUCGUGUAGGCAGUUUCAUAAAAAAAAAUCAGAAACAUCUAGCUUUUAAUUUUGUAGAUUUCAAUCAUCGCCACUAGUAAUACACCGUUCGACCUAUUCUCUUUUUCUAAAAAAAAUACCCAUCCGCCUCGACCAUUACGAAAAAUACAUAAACUAUUCCCUAAAGAUGCAUUUAAAUUUCCCAUUUCUCAUUAUGAAAGCUAAAUUUAAAAAAACCUCCUCACAUCGUAUUAUUUAAUUAACGAGACAUGCCGUUAACACUAAGUUUGCAUUUAUAUUACACACAUCUACCAUUAUAAAAAACAAUGUAAAUUCGCUAUUGUCCUACUUAUGCAUCUACACAAUUAACUAAAUAUCCUUCAAAUGUUUGACGUAAUACCAAUAUAAUCCAUUAUAGAAAACAAUCCAAUAACCAUAAAAAUGUCCUAUAUAGAUUUCUAAAUUACACAUUCCUUCUACCAUUGUAAAAUUAAAAGCUAGCAUUAACGUUGUGUUUCACCAUGUAGACAAGGUAAACAUGCUAUUUUAAUAGUUUAUCACUUAUGAAAAAUGUUCCCUAACCGAGAACAUACCAAUGACAUAGACACAAUUCACUUUAAGUUAUAUUAAUAUUUCAUGAUAACACUUUUUGUAGGUUUAAUCAGUUUAUAAAUGUAAAUGAAAUAUUAUCACUUAUAAAUACGUUAAUUUAAUUUAUGCUAUCUAUGUUUUCAUAAUACAAUAAUAUUACUACACUAUACAAUUCUUAUUUGUAGUAAAAAGAUUCAACAUCUUUAGGGUCGUGGCGCAGGUUAAAACAAUUUUUUAUGUUAUUGUAGUAACUAAGAGCCUAGUUAAGGCUGCAGAAUCUAUUUUUGAUUAAAAUAUAAAAUAUAAGAUUGAUAUUUUGAAUAAAAGAUACAAUAAGCACUAGACUCAACUUAACACGUGGAUAAGACAAUUGCAACAACUAAUAAAUCAGAAGUGAAAGUCAAAAUAGAUAUGAAGUCGCAAAAAUGUAUGUGACAAGAGCUAAUAUAACUGAAAUUUAGGAUUUAGCUAAAUACACAUUAAAGGCCCACAGAGGUGUAAUGCAGAUGAUGAAAACACAUAUAGACUUACUGGUAAAUUUUGACAAUCGGAUUAUGAUUCUAGAGUAUCUAAAGGUUUUGUGUUUGUAAGAUGAAUUCAGUGAAUAUAGAGAGUAAAGAUCAUCAUUUUGUUUAGGUUUUAUGUAGACUAUUUGUUUAGAUUUAGUAUAACACAGACACUUACAACCACACACACUAACCCCUAUAAACACACACAUGCAAACCCUAGACCUAUGAGGUACCUUCUAAGACGGGACCGACAAAUCCUCGAGACGAGAUUGAUGAAGUCACCACAAACGCUUUAUUGUCAAUGUGAACAUCAUCUACCACUGAAAUCAUAAAGUCGUUAAAUCCUAGAAUAUUCGCUCCUACGGGGAGUCAAACUUAGGACCUCAGGUGCUAUUGAGGUUCUGUGACCACUAGGCUACAUGCACUAAUUUACACAUAGAACUUCAAAUACAUCCCUAAAUACGAGAAAAUUGUAGAAAUCAUCUGUGUAGCAGUGCAACUUGGUGAUGCAAGCUUUUGUAUAUGAAAAAUAGGAGAAGAGAACAUUGCUGUAUGUAAAUGGAUUUCAGUUAUGCUUUUUUCUUGUGUUAAUAUUCUUAAUAAACAUAUUCUGUCCUGUGCAUGAAAAACAGAGGUUGGCAGCGCAAGGGGGAGAAAACAGAAUGAGAAGAAAGAGGCUCUGAUCCUAACCAUUGCUGGUUGUUCCUUGGAUGGCUGAGAGAUGCUGCUAGUGCUACUACUGCUUAAUUAUGUGCAGUAGCAGCACCCGAUCUUGAUCGCUCACAGUGGUGAGCCAGUCUUUAUUGGGUCUUGUUUAGUUCCGAAAAGUGAAAAGUUUUCGGUAUUGUAGCACUUUCGUUUGUUUGUGACAAAUAUUAUUUAAUCAUGGACUAACUAGGAUCAAAAGAUUCGUCUCGUGAUUUACAGCUAAACUGUGUAAUUAGUUUUUGUUUUAAUCUAUACUUAAAUGUUUCAUGCAUGUGCCACAAGAUUCGAUAUUACGGAGAAUCUUAAAAACUUUUUGAUUUUCAGGGUGAACUAAACAAGACCUUGGUCUAUAUAGACCAUUUUUCCUUUAUAUUGUGGCUGCCCUAUGUGCCUCAUGCAGUCAUGCAGGUCUCUCGAACUGUCACCUAUCUGACCGGGUAACAGUUUGUCUCCCUAGAGAAGCAAAGCCUUGAUCAAUUCCAAUGAAAGUCGUCGGUCCGGAACCCAAGAAAAUUAAGUUAUAGUGUUUGCAGUUCAGGCAGACAUGCAUGCACAACAAUCAAUUGAGCCUGCAGAAGGCAGGCAUGGAAAUGCAAAACCAUAGGCUGCUAUAUAUCCAGCGCCAGCUAGCCCAUGCAUGGUACGUGUGUACGUGCAUCAUCCAUGGCACCAAAUUAAACAGGUAGCCCCCGUCUCGCCUCUAAAUUUUGCAGGGGAAGCAGCAUUGUAGCAAACCCUACUGCCUCGGAUUUAUAUAUUCCUAGAACAAUUUCAUUUAUUGGUCCUGGGUAAGCCAUUUUUCAGUGUCAACAAUACGAAGCUAUAGGCUCAAAAAGUCAAAUAUAUAUUUGCAACAUAAGGUUAACAUUACUGCUAGAUGGACCAUCACAAAAGUACUUUUCAUAAUAUUUACAGAAAAUAUAUCAUGGAGUAAUAUAACUCUAUUUAAGAUAAUAUAUUGUUUGGGAUGUCAUAUGCGAGCAUGGACUAUUACUUUGUAGAUCUGUGUGUUCUCCUAAGGUUGCUAAUAUUAAGCGGUUCGAGAGUACUCCAAACCUCCAUACUGAAUGUUCAUCAGCCUAGUUGGCAUCACAGUAUUAUAUCACCUGAAGGUUCCAACUCACUGAUUACAUCAGCAUCUCCAAGAGUUUCCAAUAAUUUUUCCCAAAACCACAGAGUUUUCUAUCUCGCCAAAAAUUAUUAGGAUGAAUAAAUAAGACCAUCUCCAACAGUUAACAAUAAUCUACUCCUAAAAUAUAAAAAAUAAGUUUUACAUUAGGAAUCCUAUACUAUUUCUAAAUUAUCCAAACCACUUUUACAUAUUAUUUCUCUUUUUUAUAUUUGUAUCAGAAACCAUUUACUACUCUUUAUUAUUUCUCACAUCCUUCCACCUUUAUAGUGGCCGAUGGAUAUGCACGCGCGUGGUAGACGCGUGGAUAUAUUUGCGUGAUCGGUCUUUUUUCCAAGCAUGGAAGGAUUGGGAGGUGAGAUUGGGAACUAAUGGAGAUAGAUUUUUUCCAUUCUUGCCAAAAAUCUUAGAUUGGGAGGCUUUAUUGGGAACUCUUGGAGAUGCUCUAGGAAGCAAUGCUAGCACGAGCCAUAAACAUGCAAGUAUCGAUGUGGAGUCAAUAUGGCAAGAUAUUAGUCUUGCUAUACCUUAAUUGGAUAGCUAGAAUUAUUUACUCUUCCUCUUCUUUGCUUAGUCUAUAACCUAUGCCACCCUGUAAGCCCUAGAGCAAUAAGCCAUUCAAAUGGAGGACGGAUAUCAAUUCACUUGAAACUUUAUAUGGGCUAUGGUUUCAUUCACAUGUUCAUCGACCAAGUGCAGCGAGUGACAUGUGGGCCCCAUUUUCAAAAACCUCUCAUUGUGGCCCCAAGACUCUGCCAAUGAACUCGAGUUGAAUGGAAAGAAAUCACAAUGCCCCACACAACAAAGGGUGAUGGGUGGGCAUAGUGUGGAAGCAUCAUGCUGCAUAUUUAGGAGGUAGAGGUUAUGUGAAGUGGUGGUGUGCAUAGUGCGCAUGAGGGGUCUGGCAGGUAGGCUAGCUAGAGCAUAGUUGCACACUAGUGGCCAGUGGUAUGACCUAUCAAGAUGGAUAGGAAUAGAGUUAGCAAGUCUAAGGCCAGAUACAUAUGGCAAUUUGAAGUGUUUUUGUUUCCACUUUGAGUAUUUGAUUCAAAAUUAUUUUUCACAAAUUUCUCAUGCUCUUUGCUAUGUUAUCUACUGGCCCAUAGUUCAAAUUUAUUUUAUUUCCUUUACCACUGUGCAAGAAUUUGCUUUGUUAUCCACCUGCCAAAGUUUAGUUUGGAUGUAUGAUCUCUUGGAAGUCUUCAGGUCUAUUAAUUGAUGGUGAGGUUGGUUUCUUGGUCAAAUUACCUCAUGCUGGCAAGAUAUUUCCAUAGGGAUGCGCUCGGGCACAACAAGGCACACAAGUGUUGCUGAAUAUGGUGAUAAGGUGUGGAAAAGAUAUAAUUGGACACAUGCGAGUUGUCUAGACACAAUGCAUGGUUCACCAUGUCGAGGAGAUUUGAUACCGAAGAAAGGUGAUAUUUUCAUCGAUUAUGAGGAAGACAUCGAUGGACAACAUGACAACUCAUAUUGUAGGCAUGUGCGGCUUCUUGUGUUGCUCUGAUAGUUCCAAUGGCAUGAGACUAUGAUACAACCAGUGGGGCAAUAUGGGUGACAUGAUGAGUGGAAUAAGUGACAGCGUGGGGGAUGACGAUGCUAGGCAAGGGUGAUGUAUCAGUGAGGCCUGAUAGGUGAAAUGCAACUGAUGCCCUUGGCUAGAGUGGAUUGAGAGGGUAUGGGUGGUGGUGGGGGUGGAUCCAAGUAGGUUUAGGAAAUUAUAAAGGUUUCAUUCUUUUAGAGUAGUCCCAAUGAAUAACUACUUAGUAGUAACAUGGCAUAUAGACACCAAGUAAGAAAUUAUAGCUCACAACAGUGCACAAUCUCUAAUUGUGGCUACAAUGUAAAUUCUCCAAUCAUCUUUUUCAUGUUUCUCCUCCAAUCAUCUUCCUCCCCACUCCCAUAUUCUGCCUUGUUAUUUGUAAUACCAAUUCCAAUAGAUUUCAUGUUGUUUCUUGAACUUUGGUUCUAGUCGAAGGCCUAGUUUCUUGCAAGACACCCAAUUUCUUUAUGUUCUCAUCUCUAUCAUGUUUAAUGUUGUUGGCACCUCAGCAAAAUGUCCAACAUGGCAUCAUAUUAAAUGGCAUGAAAAUUAUCCUCUUCAUAGAAUAAGGACAGCCCUUGGUCGAUUUAGACUAAAUUUAGAAUUGGUUUUCAAUUUGAGUUAGGUUUGUACCAUCAAGAGUACAUUUCACACACACAAUUCAUGAAAGCACAUAAAUGCAUAUUCACUACCGGAAUCCGCAUCUUUGCCGAGUGUUAAAUACUUUGCUGAGUGUUUAUUUUUGGGCACUCGGCAAAGAAACUCUUUGCCGAGUGUCAAAAAAAAACACUCGGCAAAGACUUCUUUGCCGAGUGUCAAAAAAUAAACACUCGGCAAAGAAAAUUUUAAAUCGAAUUUUAAAGCCCUAAACGAAUUCAAAUCAAAAAGUUUUUAACUACAAAGUUGUAUAACUUCUCAAGAUCUACAACAUUUAUUUUGAUCAUUUCUUCAUUUGACAAAGCAAAAAUAAAUUUGUUUACAAAUUUUACAUCUCUCUCUUAUAGUUUAUGAAAUUACAAGAGAGAUAUAUAAAGAUUUUAGAAAAAUAUUAGAAUCUCCAUGUCGGAUAAAUAUAUGACAAAAUAACCAAAAUAAACUCUGUAGAUCUUGAGAAGUUAUGAAAUUUUGUAUUUGACAACUUUUUCAUUUGAGUUCAUCUUGUCAUGCAAAACCACGUUUUUAAUUGAAAAUUUUAAAAUUUGAAUUUUUUAAACAACCUCGGAUGGAAAAGAUCUCUAAAUAAACUUUGUAGAUCUCAAAAAGUUAUGAAACUUUGUAGUUGACAACUUUUUGUUUUGGAAUCAUCUUGUCAUGCAAAAACUACGUUUGAAUUUCUUAAAUUUAAAAUUCAAAAUUUGUAAACAACCUCGGAUGGAGAAACUUCCUAAAUAAAAAUUGUAGAUCCUAAAAAGUUAUGAAACUUUGUAGUUGACAACUUUUUGAUUUGAAAUCAUUUAGGACCUUAAAUAAUCAUUCUACACAUAAUUUGGUAUAAUAUUUGAGGAACCGAAAUACAAUACAAGCACAAGUCAUAGUGUGGUGCAGUGGUUAAGAGGGAGUACGCACAAGCAAGAGGUCACGAGUUCGAAUUCCAUAAACCGCGAAGAUCCAAAAAAUUCCAGAACUUAGCUGGCAAGAAGAGGCCGUUGGGAGCUGGAAAAAAAGAUUUUUUUUUCUCUUUUUUUUCGGAUUUUUUUGGUUUUUUUUGAAUUUUUUCGUUUUUAUCUUUGCCGAGUGUUUUUAGGCCUUUGCCGAGUGCCACGGACACUCGGCAAAGCGUGAGUGUCCCGUAGUGAUUGUUGUGUUUAAUGUAGUUUUUCCAACGUUUAUAGAAUUUCAAAUUGGCUCCUUUUAACGUGGUUUCAAUUCUAUUUGCGCCAAAUUGAAUUGAUUGAUUUAGGCCUUGUUUAGUUCCCAGAAAAUUUUGCAAAAUUUUUCACAUUCCCCGUCACAUCGAAUCUUUAGGCGCAUGCAUGGAGUAUUAAAUAUAGAUAAAAAUAAAAACUAAUUGCACAGUUUAGUCGGAAUUGACGAGACGAAUCUUUUGAGCCUAGUUAGUCCAGAUUAGACAAUAUUUGUCAAUACAAACGAAAGUGCUACAGUGUCGAUUUCCCAAAAUUUUUUGGAACUAAACAAGGCCUUAAGGAUUUCACACUUACAAGUACAUCCUGAUUCAACAAGUUGAAAGACAGAUCAAGAGCCAGAGCUACCACAACGGUAGUUUCCAGUUGCCUGUAAUGCCACUGAUGAUAUCUCAAAUUUGCUAGGGUAUCUAGCGUUCGAUCCACGAUCAAAUAUAGGCUGUUUGUGUAGAUAUUAAAAUGAAGAGAAAGGGAAUAUAGAUCGAUCCAUCAGAGAAGCAUUGAAGCAGUGCAAUAGAUAUAUGUCAGCAAGUUGGCCGUAAAGCAAAUGCAAGGCCGCAAGGGCAAGGGCGGCAUUGGUAGUUAAUAUAUACUGCCACAAACAGGUGCAUAUAUAAAUUAGGUUUUGAAUAAGCUACAGAUAGAUGCGCGUUAUAUAUACUGCAUUGUAGCAAAAAAGGUUAGUCGUCGUAAUAGCUAGGGCACGUACGAGCAUAAGAAGAAUUAUUGCAAAAAAGCAAAGCGGAGAGGGAGAGCUAGCUACACUGCAGAUCGAUAGGCAGCGCAUGCAGCAGCAGCCUCUGCUCCUUACUACGGCCUUGUUUAGUUCACCCCGAAAUCCAAAAAGUUUUCAAGAUUCUCCGUCACAUCGAAUCUUGUGGCACAUGCAUGAAGGAUUAAAUUUAUACGAAAACAAAAACUAAUUACAUAAUUUGUCUGUAAAUCGCGAGACGAAUCUUUUGAUCCUAGUUAGUUUAUAAUUGGAUAAUAUUUGUCAAAUAAAAUCGAAAGUGCUGCAGUAGCGAAAUCCGAAAUUUUUUCAGAACUAAACAAGGCCUACGUUUUAUUGCUCUUGAAUCUCGACGCAUGGACGAAGCAGCAGCAGCCUCCUCUGCUUGACUUGAAUGGUACUGUACGUACCACAGCAGCUCCACUCAGCUGGAUGAUCAUGCAUCAUGCAGCUAUGGCCGUGGAUUCGUCGUCUCGGUAUCCACGCUAGCUGCUAGAGAUUCUUCGGCUUCUUUAUUUGAUGCAUGCAGCAGCAUUCGCUUUGAUAGAGAAAGAUCGAUAGGUCAGAGGGCUCUGGAGAGGAAUGGGAGGGGACAGCAUGCUACAGACAUGAAGCUUAGCUUGCCACCUAGUAUGUAGUGUAGGCCGGCCGGGAACCCAACUUCCAUGCAUGCGUGCAUCGUGCGUGAAUCCAUGACGGGUCACUAGCGCUUUGCAGCAAGCUCAGAUGCUCACGUACUUGUACGGCCUUGUUUACUUCCCAAAAAAUUUUACAAAAUUUUUCAUAUUUCCCGUCACAUCGAAUCUUUAGACGCAUGUAUGGAGUAUUAAAUAUAGACGAAACUAAAAACUAAUUGCAUAGUUUAGUCGGAAUUGAUGGGACGGAUCUUUUGAGCCUAGUUAAUCUAUGAUUGGACAAUAUUUUUCACAAACAAACAAAAGUACUACAGUACCUGUUUUGCAAAAUUUUUUGGAACUAAACAAGGCCGCAUGGACGUCGUCGGACGACACUGCAGACACAGUAGUAUCCUGCAGGAGGAGCAUUCCAUCCCACUCCAGUAUUCACCCCUUGGAUCGAAAUACCUGCAGGCUGCAGCAAUGCAUGGGAGAAAGUGUAGUUGCAUGCUCUCCGGUCUCUACUGGUAGUACGCAAGAAGUAACUUGCAUGGCGCCAAAUGACAAGCUAGUGUGAAGAGCUUUGUCUGCAGCAAAUUAUAUUACUGUAUUUAUCUAGCGAAAUAUUGAGAAUCAAAAUCUUAGCAACUAGUUUAUUAUAUUCAACCCAAAACCGCAAAUAUAUGCACAUGCAUAUUAUUAUUAAUUAAUCAUGCAUGCAUGCACAAUCUCUCUCGAUCUCUCUCCUGUCUAGCUAGUAUAAGGCCCUGUUUAGUUCCCCACCUAAAAAUUUUUCAUCCAUCCCAUCGAAUCUUUAGACACAUGCAUUGAACAUUAAAUGUAGAUAAAAAAAAAAUAAACUAAUUACACAGUUUAGUUGAGAAUCGCGAGACGAAUCUUUUAAGCCUAGUUACUCCAUGAUUAGCCUUAAGUGCUACAGUAACCCACAUAUGCUAAUGAUAGAUUAAUUAUGCUUAAUAAAUUUGUCUUGCAGUUUCCUGACGAGCAAUGUAAUUUAUUUUUUUAUUAGUUUCUAAAAACCUCUCCCGACAUCCUUCCGACAUAUCCGAUGUGACACUCAAAAAAUUUUCAUCCCCAAUCUAAACAAGCCCUAAAUAUGGUAUAGGUCAGAAAAAAAACAAAAGAGCAAGAAGAGAACAAAAUGAAGAUAUACUCACAUAGUUUCCUCCCUCUCCCUCAUCAUAACCUUAUGAUGUGAUGUCCAAUCAGCACCUUAUCAUAAUGUGGUGCCCAAUCAGCAGUCUACAUCAUAUCGGCACAACAAGGGUUGUGUUACAGGGCAUAUAUGAGCUGAGUGUCUCAUUCCCCGGCCCCCAUCCUCUCUCUCUCUCUCUCUCUCUCUCUCUCUACACAAUGGCCGUACUAGCAGGCAGACAAACAUUGAAACGGUUCUGUCCAUAGUAAAAAGGAAAGAGGUUUGAAGAGGAAAUUCAAGAGAAUGAAUGCAUUCAAGUUUUCCAUGAAUGCAAUGCCAGUGGCUAGGGACAGCAGUGCGCAAUAACGUGUCCUCCCAUCCUGUCCCUCCCUCUCUCUCUUCUAUUCCCUUCUGCGCAUUCAAGUAGUAGUAUCUAUCUUGCCCUCUUCCAAAUAAGAUAUCUGUAAAGAUUUAUCUGCAUGUAAGGGCUUCCAAAUCCCCACUAGUAUACAUAUAUAUGACCAUACUAAUUAAUAAAAUGUGACGUCUCACACAUGCAAGUGUUAUGCAUUUUAAUAUCUCUAUGAUGCCAUUUUAGCUGUCGACUAUUUCAUCUCACUACCAUUGUAACCUCCAACAUGGUUCACUUCACUACUACUAUACAUAUAUGAUUUUUACAAACACGUCCUAAUUUUUUGAGGGGGUGCUUAACUUAGCAAACCAUUCCUAACUAGUUCCGAGAGCAUUGUAGCUUACAAAUAAACUAUCCAUGGAAAUAUAUUUUCAGGGCCACUCUUAUAUAUCCAUUUUCAGGGGCACUCUUAUAUUUCCAUAUGGAUGAAUCUGAUGUAGGCAAGAGCAAGCUAAAGAGGGUGAAAACAGUACAUUAGAACACAAAAUACUUCUUCAGGCCAUUCACAUUUCAAUUGUUGGCUCGGCCUUUCUGUUCUGUCGUAGAUCGUUUCUCCCUUUGUGGAAGAACCAAAGUUGAUGCCAAACCGAGUGAAUUAAGCCAAUAGUGAAGCCACAAUGUGUCCACAUCUGAUUGUUAACACGCCAGAUGGAGCUAGCAGUGUACAGUACUUACAAAUGAGAUGUGUGUGUGUGUGUGUGUGUGGGUGGGGGGGGGGGGGGGGUGUUGUGGAAGGUAGUCAGCAUGAAACCAUUUUUUUGAACAAGAAAUUCAUGAUCAUAUUUAUACAAAAGAACUUUCAAAUUUGAAUGCGAUGUGUUGUACGUCUUCUAAUACAAAAUCUACUACACACUUGGCUAUCUUUUUGAUAUAAUAUCGCAAGAUUUGAAUCUUUGAAUGUGUGUGUCCAUGCUUUAUAAAAGAGAAAUAGGGAGCAAUGUGUAUGGAUAAACUUUUCAAAAACUAUACCAAAUUAGGAGAAAUUAUGUGACUUUAUCUAUGAAGAAAUAGACACCAAAAUUCACAUGAACAAGGACUUGAUUGAACCCCAGUGGUCUCUAGGCUUAUUACAUCCACACUCUCAACUAACUAGGUUAGCUACACUCUCAACUAACUAGGUUAGCUAGGAUGUUUGUAAAUGUAAUAAAAAAUGUGUAAAUAUCCUCAUUUAAGUUUAGUAGGAUGGAAUAUCUGUGCAUGCAUGCAAUUUACAUGAGCUCUCUCCCAGCAUGGAACUAUAUCUCUUUCUAAACUUAAUAAUAAAGAGUGAAAUUCUUUUCUUCAGUCUCUCACUCUCUCCUCCAUCCACCCGCCCCUCAUGUAGUCUCUCUUUUACUCACUGUCACCCUUCUUGCUUUGAGUUGGAGGUGCAAAACUUCCGUUGGUGCCACACCACUCAUGUAAUGGUCUAGCCGUCGGAGCCAUUCAUGUUGCGGCAUGCGUGUGAAUGGUGUGGUUCACUUUCCACCUUUUUAUCAACUUACUACAAGUGAAGCACACACAAUAAGGACAUAUUUAAGUUGAUUUAAUCCUCUCUGUCAUUUAUCAGACAAGAUUAAUUCCUGUUUUAUUACAACAUUAACAUUUAUAAUGGGCAUUAGAAUAUGUUGGGCUCCAAUAUAAUUAAACCCAACAAAAAUAUCUAACUCAUUAUCAUCGCCACAAAACGGCACAAUAAUUGUACAUUCCACUGCAAUGGUCAUGCUUGUUAGUAUCCCAAAGAAAGCCAAAGCUAGCAACCCUAAUUAACAUGCAACUUUUUUCUCUCCAUACAAAUUUAUAUUAACCUGCUGUUAGUUCAAAAGUUUGCAUCAACUUUUUUUUCACAUAGCUAGCCAGCUUUUACUUGUGGCAGAGCUUGUAAUUUAACUCUGUGCGCGACCACCGCCAAUUUAUUUCCCAUGGUCAGUAGUAAGACUGUAGCUAGCACUGGUGCCGUUGGUCAAAGAGGAUCACUGCAAAGCUCUGGCCGUUUUGAUGUGCACCAAUUUGUCUCUCACACGCUCCCUUUCUCUGUCGGCCCGCCUUCAUUCAUCUCUCGCUCAUUACUGCAUGCAUAUAUGCGUUGUUGCUUUCACAUACGAUCGACCAUUGGAUCGGCAGCUGCGCAUGCAUGGCUGUCCAUGAUGCUCCCUAGCCCUAGCAGCUAGCUAGCUAGCUAGCUGGCUCUAUAUAACUGGAGGAUCUAGCCAGCUCCAGCUUCCAUCCCAGUCCCAUCCUCGUCCUAGCAAACCUCAAAGACAUAGACUAUACGAACACACGGCAUUUGGCAGCUGAUAGAUCGAGUUGUGUGUGUGCGUGUGUGGGAGAUUGCCUGCGAGCUACAUACAUCAGUAUCUGCAGUAUGUCUAUCUAGCUAUAUUUCCCAGCAAUAUUUUUAGCUCAUGACAGGCUCUGCUGAUCGUUGCAUAUAUGAUUUGCAGGUAGCUAGCUAGAACAACUUCUUAGAACACAUAUAUAGCUAGCUGUCGUCGUUCUGCAGUUAGCACACACACAACCAAGCUACCUAGGAUCGAGAUAGCUAGAGGCGUUGAAUCCAUUGAUCGAAUCGCGAUCCGAUCCAUCCGAGCUAGCAUUAGCAAUAGCAUCGCCGUCCACAUGCCGCAGACACCUUCGACCCGCUGGUGCCCGACGCCGGAGCAGCUGAUGAUCCUGGAGGAGAUGUACCGGAGCGGCGUGAGGACGCCCAACGCGGCGGAGAUCCAGCAGAUCACGGCGCACCUGGCCUACUACGGCCGCAUCGAGGGCAAGAACGUCUUCUACUGGUUCCAGAACCACAAGGCCCGCGAGCGCCAGCGCCUCCGCCGCCGCCUCUGUGCCCGACACCAGCAGCAGUACGCUCAGCAGCAGCAGCAGCAGGCCACCGCAGCAGCGCCGUCUUCGAGCCCUCUUCCGUCUCCAGCAGCAGGCGGCAGCAGCGCUGGUGUGCAUCCGGCGGUGAUGCAGCUGCACCAGCACCACCACCCAUACGCAACCAACUUCGUGCCACACCUGGUUAGGAAUUUUAAUUGUUCACGUUCCAGUAUUAUUCUAGCUAAGAAUCUUCAAAGUAUCAAUUUUAAUUUUGCAGAAGCUUGCUAUAAUUGCAUGCUUGAUAAUGUAUCUAUAUGUCCAUAUGUUAAUCAAUCGAUUAUUAGGGCUACUUGGGACAGCAGGCGGCGACUGUUCCGCCAGUGCUGAACCCAGCUGCUGCCGGCAUGGUGGACCUUGCAGCUGCAGGAGCAGGAGCAGGAAAUAAGGCUACUGGUGCAGGUGGUGGCUAUGGAGGUGGAGCUGCCUUAUACAACAGCUGCAGCAGCAAUCAGCUGGAGGAGUGGGACCCCGCUGAGGCCAUGGAGCACUGCAACGCUAGCUGCGGUGCCGCAUCGGGCAGCUCCGACGAGGGUGGCGCAGCUCAUCUCCAGCUGCCGCCAUGCUGCCGCCGCCCUCUCAAGACCUUGGACCUGUUCCCCACUAAGAGCACUGGGCUCAAGGACGAGUGCAGCAGCUCCAAGUCCUCCUCUUGCUCCACAUCCACCAACUAAUUAAUCAUUAUUAUUGAAUCCCUUUAGUUUCUAUAUAUCUUGCUUCUAGUAGUUCUUUGAUUUGCUAGCUAGCUAGCUAGAGUUAGUAGAUUUGGUCUUCUCAAGUGUGCCAUUAUAUUGUUGUGUUGUGUGUGCUCGCAAAAAAAUUGUUGUGUUGUGUGUCACGCUACCUCUACUUUGCUUGUUAGUGUAACUACGUUUAAGUUUCAGUGCUCGACUUCAAUCUAUGUGUAUCUAUCUUAAUUCAUGCAAUGGAUUUGUUUUAGCAGACUGUGACCUAUAUGCUCCAUUUACUCAAUAGCGAUGAGCGAAUGAACGGAUCGGAUGACUUAUAAUAUAUGGCUAUAUAUGGUUUACCUUCUUCCUCUUCUCUAGUGAUGAUUCCUUUAUUAUUGAGAGUAUAUAAAGUCUAGUCGUUAUCUUCUCCUAAAGUUAAUUGCAAUGUGAAGGGAUGAAGACUAAGAAAUUGCCACAUCAACUCAGAUUAUUCAUGCAACUCCAUAAGCAUGCACUGGACAAUGAUUUUUUUGAGUCAAGAGUGUAUGUGAAUAAAUCCCCACACACCACAACAUUUCAAAGGAAAAAAAAGACUUGCCACUUGCAUGGGAGUGCUAAUCAUUCCUUUGAAUAAGAAAUACAUUUUAUUAGGAUGUGGGAGUUCUAAUCAUUAUUUUGAAUCAACCAUACAUCACCAAAAGCGGCAUUUCUCAAUUAUCAGGACUCAAGGAUGUAAGGAUGUGCUUCAGUCUCCCACCAAAUUUCAGAAUAUUUUGACAAAAUUUGAGUAUUCCUUCCAAAUUUUCAUAUGAUCGUAAAAUUUAUCCACAUACUUUCAAAUUUCUAAAGCUCUAAUAAUUUUAUUAAUACAAAUAUUAUUUUCGCAAUUGUUUCAAAUGAAAACAAAAUAAUGCCACUCCAUUAGCCUUGGUCGAUUUUAGUCCAUUUUGUUCCAUCCUCCGUCAUACCUUGUUUCAGCCCAUGCACCUUCUCAUUCCUUCACGGCUGAAAUGAGACAGGAGAGAGGAGGUAAAGAAAUUGGUUGAAAUCAGCACAAUGCUAAGGUAUUUUAUUUAUUUUUGAUUAAAAAUAAUUACUUCUUGAGCUCUAAAACGUAUAAGAACAUUUCAAAGUACAUUUAGGACAUGAAUAACUUGGAAAGUAUGCAUGUGCAACCAUGAUUACUAAGAAGAAUAAACAAUCCACCAUUCAUGACUCUGUUUAAUAGAUUUACAUAUCAAUGUAAAUUCUAUAAAUAAUUUAGUAAUUUAUUAUUUUUUAUGUUGCAGAAGACAUGUGUUUAUAGUUAGCACUGAUUUCUUGCAGCGACAAUUUACAUAAGAAACCAGCUCUAACUAGAAUAGGGAGCACCGUAGCUCAUGGUCACUUCAAAUCCAUUUGUAGGGGUAGUUUCUUUAAGAAAACUGUACCCUAAAAAAUAAUUUCUAGGUCUUAUGAGUGAAACAACGCUAGAAAUUUCUAGGGGUGUUUCUCUUAAUAGAACUGCCCCUAAAAAAUAAUUUAGAGGACUAGUCCAUUAUCUUAGUGAACCAUCCCUGAAAACUUCAUAUAAAUCCUCCUUUCUUCCUUGCAACAACUCUAUAUAUCACUAGGAGGCGGUGAUGCUUAAGUACUAGUUUUUUUUGACAACAUACAUGUUGAUAUUGUGGAUUGCUUGUUUUGGGAUGCCAUUUCAAUUUUUUCAGUAUCUUUUCUGUCUUAGCAGAAAGUUAGGAGAUCUUCAAUAGCAGUUGUAUGAAUAGCUAUGUUGUUAAGAAAUUGUUCCAACAAGAUGAGAUCAUCAUUCCUUCUCAAAGUUAAAGUCAAAAAUUCUCCCAGAGAGGAUAGAAAUACAUAUAAUAUUUUAGGAUCUGUUGGAUAAAGCACAACUCAUAAAAACUUACUAGAAAAGCAAGCCCAUGAGCUUGAACUUGAAAUUAUGGUUUGAACAGCACAACUCAUAGAUUAAAUUUCUAGAUUGCAUUAAGAAUUACAACUUUGGUACAGGCCAUGUUGACAUCCGAUGUUGAUUGAAAAUUCUAAACUAUAAAUUUCAAAAUUUGAGAGCUACAAACAAACUUUCUUAGACUCUAAAUAGUUUCAGUAAAAAGUUAUCAUAUAUGAAGUGGUAGAUUACGUCAAGCCCUGUAAUUUUGCUAUAAAGCUCAUCUUCAUCCAACUUCAUAUUAAAAAGUUUUAAGUUUUGUCAAACAAUAAUUUCUAAAUAUGGGCCACUUAAGAGUGCUACAUCAAUUAAUUGAUCUCUACAGCUGGCAUUAUUAGGAAGCUACUAUGUGAAAAUAACCAAUGAUAGGUGUGUGUUUGCCUAGGGACUCUAUGUACAUCUCAGUUAAUCAUGGCAUAUAUCUUCUAAAAUUACUUUGUAGUAAUGCUCGUGGUGUUGUUUCACUGAUGUUGUCUAGCAUAUGGGCUGGUUUGACCCUCUUGCAAUGGUUCAUCACUCGAGCUAGUCAUUUGUCUAGGGUGGACCAUGGAAUAUGGUGAAUUGGUGAGUGAUUUUUCUAGAUAUAAAGGAAACUUUAGUUUGAGAUGAAACAUUAUUGUGACCUCUGCUUAAGCUAGCUAUACACAACUAAAAUAAAAGAAUAAAAAUGAUAACAUGCAAGAAGAGUUUGACUCCACUAUUCUCUAAGCAAACUUAGAAUCUCAUACUCAACAUCCAGCUCAAACCACCAAUAUAACAAAUCUACAAUCUAACUUUUGAGAAAUUAAAGCUUAACAUCUUUGCAUCUAUUUGAAUGUAACAUGAAGUGAGGUGGUCAAAGUCCACAAAAGCUUUAUCAUCCUCUUGCAAAAGAAGUUGAUAUGCAUCAAAAGCAUCUCACAUGUAUAUGAAGUCCACUAGGUGUCCUCUAUUAACUAACCAACCAACAUGUAGCACAUGACUAGCAAUCACAAAUGAUGACUGAUAUGACUAGACAAAAUGAUCGUCAUUCAAUUGAGCCAUAGUUAGCUUCUUUCACAAGCCACAACAAUUUGGACUAUCUGCACAUGUGCUCAAGAUACCACUAGGAGAAGAUGUGUUGCUAAUAACACCUAAGGUCUCUCCCAAUGCAACACUUCCCUUGAGGAAAAGACAUCCAAGGAUAUCAUCAUUGCAUGACCGAUUGAAAGUUAUAGAGUUUUCUCUUAGAGACAUCCACACCCAAGUAGGAUUGUGAACACAUUAUGGAGAUGUGUCAUGUGUGUGAUGAAUGAUUGACACAAAUAUGAGAGGUUUGAGGCUUUCUUUGCUGAGUCAUAUUUCAUAUGUACUUGAUUAUGUUAAUGGUUAACCAGAGGUGUAUAGUGUGUUGUGUUUUGUUGUGCAACAUGUCUCUUGGCUUGUAAUGUGUAAGUGCUGAGAGCGCCAAGACGGUCGACAACAAUAGAGAAGGUCAAGUGUAAAGUCCAUGUGUGAUUGGUCGGGAGUGGUGAAGGACGGAUGAGAAGGCAUGGAUCAAGGGACUAGAGGCUAGAGGACAGACAAUGUGCAACUUACACUAGGCACAUGAAGAGCAAUAGUACAUGGGGAGACAACAUCAACCAAGUCAAGGAGGAGGAUGGUGUUGUGGCACUUGGCAAAGGUCAAACACGCAUCUACAUGGGUGAUGGACAUGGUGUCAGUCAAGUCAAUAAGGAAGGCAAAGGAAAGAGCUUGGCGGAGGUUGAACACAUGUUGAAAAAUCAUGGAGUCAUGCUUGGUGAGGUGUGCAUGAGGGUUUGCUAGUUUUGUCCUCAAAACUAGGGAUGGAGAGUUUGCUUGUUUGGACCUUGUUGAUAUUUCUUAACAUCAAGUUGUCAUCCCUAGCAAUGAUGCCAUAAAUGUCUUAUUGGUAUUUAUUCGUUUUCACUUGUAAUUGAGGAAACAUUAAAGUAAUCCGCAAGCACACAAAUUAUAUAUCAUUGUAGCAUUUCACCCAGGAGUAUUCCAUGUAUCGUUAUUUAUAUUUUUACCACAGGGAAUGACGGGCAAAGAAAUUAUAUUGAUAACUAAUAUUCUACUCACAACAUGGGUAAGAUAGAAAAUAAGAUAUAUAAAAGGCAAUGAUCAUUGACAAUAAAUAGUUAAUCACUCAGAGCACUCCUUUCUAUGGCAUUAGCAUGACUAAGUAGAUAUUAGAGAGACAAUUCCUAAGUCAUCCUUAAUUACAAUUCAAUGCAUAUGAUGAUUAGUGCAACUACACUUAGUAGUCAUGGAUAAGAUCAACUUUAUAUCUACACAUAAGGGAUAUUACUAAGGAAGAUUAAGAAUAGGGCAUGUCUUCCUUUGUAACUAGAUCCUACUUGUUGACCUAUAUUCGGGGAGUGGACUACAUAGGACUCAACAGGAGUGUCACAUCCGUGAUGUAAAAUAUAGGGUGUAUCCAUUGGUAAACAAUGUAUAAGCACCACGCUUACAUAAUAUCGACCACUCACACCAUGAUCAUUAGUGUGAGUGCUAUAUGAACUUAUGCUUGAAUAAAAUGAUCAUCUAGCUAUACUAAGUAUAUAAUCAAAGUAGACAAUGAACAUGAUAAUUAGGAACAUGAAUGAUAUUAAGAACAAUAUCAUACCAAUUGUAGCAAACAUAAAAAAGUAAUGAGACAUACAAAAGAGAGGGGGUACAAAGGCUAUACCAAGCCACACUCUUGACACGAUCAGGAAUCUAGGCAAAGCUUGCAUCUCUCUAGAUCUAACCUAGCUAGGUAUGCCCUAGAAUAUGGUGUAGUUUUGAGGAUUAGGGUUUCUGCCUUCUGCUUCUAACUUGAAUGGCUUGAAUGCCUGAGAGAGGGGGUAGGGGCUAUUAGAUAUACCCCAGAGCAUCAAUUCUUAGCUCUCAGAUCGUACAGACUUGAAAGAACAAUGUAGAUGCAACCUAGGAGGUGGUGGAGAACUGACAUAACAAGAUAGAGUCCGAUAGGUGGGCCUAGAGGUUGGCGAAGCUUAGAUGGGACUAGCCGACCCCACCUAGAGGUGUCUCACUAUCUUCUUUGGUGGUUUGGCUUCUGGUGUCCUCUGGAACCUUCUAGAGUUCCACCUUGACGGUUUUCUAGAUAUCCCUAUAGAAAAUACAUUCACCAAACUCUUGGAAUUUGUUAGUUUAAACCCCUAAGUCUAUGUUGGUGAUUAUUUUCAUGCAUUCUCCAAGUUAUAUUAAUAGUUUAUAAUGGUUGUUGACUACCAUCAAUAGACCUCAAAGCCAUCAGAGGAGGGUUUGCUAGUUUGGGACUCAAAACCAGGCAUGCAUGGUUGGAUGGUUUGUGCCUCAAACCAUCAGCGACGGAUUUGACUGGUUUGAGCCUCAAAAUAGGGGAGUGGAGGAUCAAUGGACAUGUGGUGGAGUCUCAAAAGCUGGCUUCAAGGCAGAGCAGAGUCGACAAGGCAUCAGGUCUAUUACUCUAUGUAAUACCCGAUUUUAAGGAUAAAACCACAUAUGCACCAUAUGCGAGUUUUAUAAGGCAAAUCUCACAUAUAGUUACAAAUAAGGGGUAAUAUCAAAAGACAAUGCAUAAAACAUAUAACGUACAUAAUAUAAAAGAGAUAACCUUUGAUAGCAAACAGCGGAUAUACAACUCUAAACUUCAGGUAUUAACUCUUCUCCACAGGAUCCAACUGACUGGUUGAUCACAAGCCCAAAACUUCUCCUGAGGUGUGGGGAAAAUUGCAAGAGUGAGCACAUAUCGUACUCAACAAGUAUAACCAGGGGUUCAUGAGGCUCAGUUAGCUGACACUGGUUUAACUGCAUUUAGCUUUUAUAUGUAGAUAGCAUAUUUAAUCAUUGGAUAGCAAAUAUCAAGGUAGCAUAUUAAAUCCCAUAACCACAUGAUCAAUGUAUACAAGAAUUAAGAAUAACACAAAUAAACAACAUAAUAAACCAUCAUUUAUUAUCAUUAAUCAUGUUCAUCAGUGUCCAUCUAUUCCGUCAGUUUUCCGGGCCGCCCGUAUCCGUGGGCACGACUAGUAUACCAGAUUUAACACUCUUCAGAGGUUGUACAUCUUUACCCAUGAGUCAUGAUUUACCCUUUCGCCCGAGGCCCGUCGACCUCUUAGCUCACUUUCAAGGAAAGCCGGCAGGGUUCACUAUGAAGUCUUUCAAAGGUUCGUCUAACAAGUUAGGACCGCAAGGUUUCCUUUGCGCGCAAAUAUAGAUACCCCCCUUCCAAAUGGCACAAUGACGCGCAGCCUAUACACAUAAGGACAGGGGCUCGCACUAUACCCAAAACGGUUCAGCCCCUCCGCCCUUUCGGGUAACCUCUAACAAGCUAGAAAAGCUUACUCAUACUUGACUAAAGCCAGAGCCAUAUAGCCCUCAUGGUUGUACGAGUUGUCUCAGCUUUUGCCAAGGGAUAAGUCCUUAUGGAGGGUCAAGAUCAAUCCAGCAAAAGCCAGAGUUCUUUCCACCCUUUAUGUUCAAGUUGCUAGAAAGCUUAUUUUAUCGUUUAUGGUAUAUUCAAAUAUUCAUGUUACAAGAUCAUGGAUUAAUAAUCAAGCACUAGCAAGAACUACCCAAAUACAUAUCCAAAUAGGUAACAAGGAAUUCAUGAUAAUAAUCAUCUAUGAUUUUACUAGGGUCAUCAAGGUGGACACAUGCAUAUGAUAAAUGUUAUAUUAAUUGUGUAUAGGUAACAAGGAUAGUCCCAAGUUAUACUUGUCUUGAUCAAAGCUCUCCUGAGCCUGCUGCUGGUCGUCAAAAGCUUGACCUUGAUCACCAACUUAUCACUCACCGUCUAUACUCGAUCAUCGAUCAACAACACGCAAUCCAAUGUAGACAAUCAUACACGAAGCAAACAAGCUAUAAUUAGAACAAUACACCAAACAUUGGUAAAAUAAAUAUAAAAGUUUACCAAAAUAUUCUACGCAGCGCUACGAUCACACAAACAUAAAGUUCACGAAAAUCGGAAUUAAAACGGUGAAGUUAUGAAUUUUCCAGGAUUUUCUAUAGAUAAAUAAUUAAUUAAAUGCUACUGCAAAAUUAAAAAGUUUCAAAAUAGAGAAUAAAUACUUCUAACAUGUAGAGCUCGUAAAUACGCGAAAUUUGAAUGGAUGAAAACGGAGUUAAAAUGAGUAUUUUAUGACCAAAUCAAUUUCAAUGGCAAAACUGUAAAUAACAGAAAACGUAAUCUGCCUAAGCCGAACCAGAAUACGUUUUUAAACGGAGAAAGCGUAUUCUGCGCAAGCCGCCAAGGACUGCGGAGUAAAUACUGAAAAGUUUCAGGGAUUCUUUAUGAAGUUUCGCAGCGAAGGGGUAUGCUUUGUUUUGGGCCCUUGAUCCCAAAACGGAUGGCUGGCAGACGAUCUGGGGAAGAGAGGGGGGGGGGGCGGCGACGACUGGCCGGAACAGUCUUCCACGGCGGCGCCAUUGGAGCGCCUCGCCGGAGCUCGCGCUGAGGCAAUUUCUAGCACCAGGGAACAAGGGAAAAGCAUCAGGGGGUGGAGGAGCUCACCACGAAUCCUCCUAGGGACUUCACUUGGGCCGAGAGGGAGCAGGGAGAGCUCACCGCGGCGCCGUUUGGAUUAGAGCUCAGCGAGAUCUAACUGAGCGUCGGGAAGGAGCUAAAACCGAUCUCGGUCCUUUGUAGAUGGAAAAAGGAAUGCGUUGAGGGAAAGCCAAGGCUAAAUAGGGCUCGGGAAAAUCAAAUCCCAUGGAAACCGGGAUUUGAGGCAGAGCCUUCUUCGGCUUGGAGCCUUGGAGUCCCAGCCGCCCACGGUUCACGGAAGAAGAAAAGGGAAUGGAGGAGGAAGACGAUGUCGCGUGGGGCCCAGUCGUCAGCGAGAGAGAGAGCGGGUCCCAGUUGACAGCGGAACAGAGGAAAGGUGUAACACCCAAAAUUUGAUUUUCAAAUAAUAGGAUUUAAUUUAAUUUAUUUAAGUACUUUUGUGGGCAUAGAAAUCUAGCAACUAAAUAAUUGUGUGGGAAUUAAAAUUCAGUAUAGGUUUAGCAACCUUGAUUGAGCAUUCAUGCUGGAGCAUCUUUAUUUAUUUGUGCUGCUGGUAUAUGUUGGAUUUUAUUUGCUCUCAAAAUUUGAUUUUAAAAGGCUUUGGAAAAUUAAAAAAAAAAGAAAAAAAAAACAGCCGGACUCGGCUUGGUGGCCAAUUGGCCGUGAGGCCCAAACUGGCCAGCAGCGCGCGCACUCCCUCCCUCUCCCUCCUUUCUUUGGCUGACGGUUGGGGCCCCCACGUCAGCGCCCUUUCCUUCUUCCUCCCUGCCGUGCUCGAGCAGGAAACGAUUCCUCACCGAAUCGGAUCCGCGGAUCCCGCGAUUUCCUUGCCAAGCGCGCAAUCCGACCACUAUAAAGCUUCUAGCAUCGCUCCCUCGACAUGUUUUCGCAUCUAGGUCGCCAAAACCGAGUCCCCGUGCCUUGUUUCGCGAGUUCUGGAUCUCGCCGGGAGCUCUUUCCGCCGCCGCGCGUGGACACGCCCCUCUGCUAGCUCUCGGCCCGAGCCAAGCCCCCAGCUUCGUUCGCGGUGAGCUUCUCGCCCUCCCGGUAUUUUCCUUUCAAAAAACGGUGCUCGGAAAGGAGAAGCCGAGGAGCUCCGGCGAGUUUUCGCUCUCCGGCCAUGGCGGCCACCGCAUCGGACAGGGAGAGGCCAGCCGGCCACCGCCAAGGACCCCAGGAGCAGCUCGUGACCAUCCAACCGACGAUCAACGGCCGAGAUUAGAACAUACCUGUUCGCAGGGAAUUUUCAUAAAGAGUCCCUGGAAAGAGUGGUUAAUUACCCCGCGGUCCCUGGCGCCCUGGCACAGAUUACGUUUCCUUUGAUUGAAAGCGUAUUCCUGUCUGUUCAACUUGGUUUAUGUUUUCAGCUAAUUACAGAACUGCCACUGAACUUAGAUAGCUUAUAAAAUAUUCAUUUUAACUCUGUUUUUGUCCAUUCAAAUUGCGUUAGGUUCGUAAUUAUAUGCUCUACAUGAUAGAACUAUUUAUUCUCUGUUUUGAAACUUUUUAAUUUUCUGGUACUAUUUAAUUAAUUAUUUCUCUAUAGGAAAUCUUAGAAAAUUCAUAUCUUUCACGUUUUAAUUCCGAUUUUCGUGAACUUUACGUUUGUGUGAUCGUAGCGCUGCGUAGAAUAUUUUGAUAAACUUUUAUAUUUGUUUUACCACUGUUUGGUGUAAUGUUCUAAUUAUACCUUGUUUGCUUUGUGUAUGAUUGUCUCCAUUGGAUUGCGUGUUGUUGAUUGAUGUUUGGGAAUAGACGGUGAGCUGUACGUUGGUGAUCAAGACCAAGCUUUUGAGGACCAGCAGGCUCAGGAGAGCUUUGAGCAAGGCAAGUAUAACUUGGGACCAUCCUUGUUACCUAUUCACUUAUAACUACAUAUAUAUAUCAUAUGCAUGCUACCACCUUGAUGACCGUAGCAAAAUCAUAGCUGAUUGUUAUCCUGAAUUCCUUGUUACCUAUUUGGAUAUGCAUUUGGGUAGUUCUUGCUAGUGCUUGAUUAAUAAUCCAUGAUCUUGUAACAUGAAUAUUUGAAUAUACAAUAAACAAUAAAGUAAGCUUUCUAGCAACUUGAAUAUAAAGGGUGGAAAGAACUCUAGCUUUUGCUGGAUUGAUCUUGACCCUCCAUAAGGACUUAUCCCUUGGCAAAAGCUGGGACAACUCGUACAACCAUGAGGGCUAUAUGGCUCUGGCUUUAGUCAAGUAUGAGUAAGCUUUUCUAGCUUGUUAGAGGUUACCCGAAAGGGCGGAGGGGCUGAACCGUUUUGGGUAUAGUGCGAGCCCCUGUCCUUAUGUGUAUAGGCUGCGCGUCAUUGUGCCAUUCGGAAGGGGGGUAUCUAUAUCUGCGCGCAAAGGAAACCUUGCGGCCCUAACUUGUUAGACGAACCUUUGAAAGACUUCAUAGUGAACCCUGCCGGCUUUCCUUGGAAGUGAGCUAAGAGGUCGACGGGCCUCGGGCGAAAGGGUAAAUCAUGACUCAUGGGUAAAGAUGUACAACCUCUGCAGAGUGUUAAAUCUGGUAUACUAGCCGUGCCCACGGAUACGGGCGGCCCGGAAAACUGACGGAAUAGAUGGACACUAAUGAAUAUGACUAAUGAUAAUAAAUGAUGGUUUAUUAUGUUGUUUAUAUGUGUUAUUCUUAAUUCUUGUAUACAUUGAUCAUGUGGUUAUGGGAUUUAAUUAUGCUACCUUGACAUUUGCUAUCCAAUGAUUAAAUAUGCUAUCAACUAUUAAAAGCUAAAUGCAGUCAAACCAGUGUCAGCUAUUUGAGCCUCAUGAACCCCUGGUUAUACUUGUUGAGUACGAUAUGUGCUCACUCUUGCAAUUUCCCAACACCUCAGGAUAUGAUAAUGAAGGUGACUGGAAUGAGGAUUAUCGUUAUGAGUACUAGGUUUGGAGUCAACCAGUCAACAGUGUCCCUGUGUGGAGCUUCCGUCGAGAGCGUUGUUUAAUAUUAUUAUCAUUUUUGUGUAAGACUAUGUGAUUUAUUAUGUUCCGCUAUGUAAUAAACACUGCAAUGGUACAAUUGAGAUUUGUCUACUUAUGUGUGCGACUAUUCCUGGGGCACAUAUGAGUCUUUUAUGCAUCCUAUUUUGUUCUUAAAAUAUGGGUGUGACAAAUUGGUAUCAAAGCUUUGUUGACUGUAGGACGCAAACCUAGUUAGCAAAGGGUCAAAAAUUUAGGUCCUUACUUUACUUACUUCAUGCUUCCCACUAUGGUCUUGUUAUUUGCUAAAAGUUUAUGCUUCUCUAUCUUGCUCUAUUGUGAAAUUAUUGCAUCCAUCUGAUCUAUGUCUAAAAACUUUUUGUAGAUGCCGCCUCGUACCCGCAGUGCUGCACGCAUGGCUGCUGAGGAGUACCGUGCCAUGUUCAACCUAGGAGGACAACGUGUGGAUGGAGUUCCUGAGCUGGAGGAUGAGGAAUCAAGGGUGGAAGCUCAGGAGGAAGGACCUGAGGAUGAGGAGAUGCAAGAUCUACCUCCACCACAGUCUGCUAAUGCAAGGAUGGGAUGGACUACUGAGCUGUGGAUUCCAGAAGCAGAUCCCAAGGCCUUCUUCCAUGAGAAUUUGGUGUUAACAUUGAAACACCAUUACCCGGAUUUGCAAGCCACACUGGAGUAUAACUGCACUGAGCACAAACACCCGCUGAGGAGAUCACUUUGGGUUGCAGAGCUGAUAGUCAAGACACUGGAUGCCACCAAGGGGAUUCGAAAGGUGGAAUCAAAACACAUCGCUCGAAUCAGCCGGGACACGAUGAGAGAGAGCAUGGCAGAUGCAGCUUACCAGGCCUUGGUCUUUUACCGUGGUAGACGUUUUGAGGAUGUUCAGUAUAAUGCAACAUACCACUAUCCUCGCUUUGUACCAGAGAAGAUGACUUGGGCCAUAGAAGUUGCAGAUGCUUCACAACCAAAGCUUCAAGCACAAGUGGAGUUGACUUAUGAGCUGACACUCAAGGUGAUAGAGUUGGAGAAUGAACUACACCGUGAGAGGAAGCUGUUGGAGAAAGAGCAAAGGGAAGCGGAUGACCUUCGAGCGGAGUUAGGCCGCCCCAAACUUCAUAAGAGGCUGCAUGUUGAACCCAUCUUGAAGGAUGCUGCACCCGAGGAAUAGAAAAGAACCCAUAUGUAAUAGGAACGUUAGUAGUUUACGAGUAUUUCGAGUCUUUUGCUAUUGUGGCAUGAACUUGGUGUGCUUGCUGAUUUGUUAUUAUGAAUAUGUGUGAUUUGGAUUUUUGUAAUGAGUGCUGGGACUUUGUGGGCAUGUCCACAAGUUCCCUAGUUAAGAACCUUAAGUAAGAACAUGAAUAAAUAGUGGGUUGGGGUCAUAUCCUGUUUCUGUCUUUUGCUGUUUUCUGGAGCAGUCUGCAAUGAUUCUGGAAUAAAUCAAAUUCUGCUCGUGCAAUGUUCAUCAAAUUUUUCUGGGAAAAAGUAGACUUUCAUAUAUUUCCAAUGCCGCCAGAAUGACCAUAUUAUCUAUUAUGAGCUGUGAGUUAUGACUGUUUAAAGUUGAGGUUUCUGCGCAGUCUGGAAUUCUGGAACAGUUUCGGUUGUACCCAGUUUUUGGUUAACCUCACGUUGGAAUCUGGUAAUAUGACCUAAAUGAAAGUUGUAGACAAUUUCUUUAUCUUUCCAACGAUGUACAGCAUGUAUCCUUUUGAAUUCUGGAACUCGAGAUAUUACUGAUUUUCUGAUCUGCUGAUGUUGGAUGUUACCCAGAAAAUUUCAGACUCAGUUAACUCUUGUAAUUGUCAUGUUGGACAUUACUAAGAUGUGUUUAUAUACCUUGGAAUGCAGAUGGCAGCAAGGGGAAGAGGCAGAGGCAGAGGCCGUGGCAAUGGCAAUGACAAUGGCAAUGGUGGCAAUGCCCCAAUCACCGUGGAGGAACUCAUGCAAACCCAAAAUCAGAUGAUGCACGUUUUCAUGCAGCACCUGCAGCAACAACCUCCACCAACACCACCACCUGUUCAUGUGAGGGACAAGCGUGGAGAGUUUAUGAAGGGAAGACCUCCGGUAUUUACACACUCAGCUGAUCCCAUGGAGGCAGAUGAUUGGUUACGUGCUGUGGAGAGGCAGCUAAACAUAGCACAGUGCAAUGACUUGGAGAAGGUGUUGUAUGCUUCUGGACAGCUUCAAGGUGCAGCUCAGACAUGGUGGGAGUCGUAUCAAGCUGCUCGUCCCAACAAUGCUCCUCCUGUCACAUGGCUGGAAUUCUGUAGGGACUUCAGAGCUCGACACAUAAAUGAGGGAAUGAUGGAGCUCAAACAGGAAGAAUUCAGAUCACUCCGGAUGGGCUCCAUGACAGUGGCAGAAUAUCAUGACACGUUUGAACAGUUGGCUCGCUAUGCCCCGAAUGAAGUCAGGGAAGAUGCUGAUAAGCAACGCUUGUUCAUGAAAGGCUUGUACUAUGAACUCAGGUUGCAGUUGGCAGGAAACACUUAUCCUACCUUUCAAGCUCUUGUGAAUCGUGCUAUCGUGCUUGAUAAUAUGCGGAAGAGUCAGGAUAAGAAGAGAAGGAUGCUGGUACAAGGAUCUGGGAGCAACAACCGUCAGCGUUUCAGUUCUCAUCAAGGCCAUCAGCAGAGGUUCCAGGGACCAGUUAGUCAGUGGAACCGUAACCAGCAACCCCAGCGUUUCCAGAAUCAGUCGCAGAGUGGGAACCAACGUCCUUCAUUCCAACAACGUAACUACAAUCAACAGCAGCAUGGUCAGCAGACACCUCGCUCAGGAAACUCAAAUGCCAACUCCACAAAAAGAAGUGCUUCUAACACUCCUACCAGGUGUUUCCGUUGUGGGAAAGAGGGACACAUGUCAUAUGAUUGCCCGGAGAAGCUCAACAAGCCGAACAACAACCAGAAGUCUACUGCUUAUGCGGCAACAGUGAAUAAUGUGGCUACAGAGACAGUUCAGGAGGGACCAGAGAUCAUGAUGGGUACGUUCAGCAUCAACUCUAUCCCUGCUACAGUUUUAUUUGAUUCUGGAGCUUCGCAUACAUUCAUAUCACAAGCAUUUGUUAGAGUUCAUAGCCUUCCACUAGUUGCAAUGAAAACUCCUAUGCUAGUUAAUUCACCGGGUGGGACUAUACCAGUUUCUUUAUGUUGCCCCUCAGCAAGUCUUUCUUUAAGGGGGGUAGAUUUUCCUAUCAGUCCCAUGGUUAUGAGAACUUCAGGCAUAGAUGUGAUCUUGGGUUUGGAUUGGAUGAAGCAACAUGAAACAAAUAUUAAUUGCAAAGAGAGAGUAGUGGCUCUGACAACACCAAAGGGAGAACGAAUCAGUGUUAAUGUAACAGUGCAAGCACCACUCACAGCCAAGGUGAACCAACUGAAUGAAGAUGUUGAUCCUCAGAAUUUGGUAGUGGAUGAGUUUCCGGAUGUCUUUCCAGAUGAAUUGCCAGGUAUGCCACCUGACCGAGACAUUGAAUUUAUUAUUGAAUUACUACCUGGUACUGCACCCAUAGCUAAAAGACCAUAUAGAAUGGGGGUUAAUGAACUAGAAGAACUUAAGAAACAAAUUAAGGAAUUGCAAGAUAAAGGGUUCAUUCGCCCUAGUUCAUCACCAUGGGGUGCACCAGUUAUCUUUGUUGAUAAGAAGGAUGGUAGUCAGCGGAUGUGUGUGGAUUAUCGGUCACUUAAUGAGGUUACUAUCAAGAACAAAUACCCAUUGCCUAGGAUUGAUGACUUGUUUGAUCAACUAAGAGGUGCUUGUGUGUUCUCUAAGAUUGAUUUGCGUUCUGGUUAUCAUCAAUUGAAGAUUCGGAAUUCAGAUAUACCAAAGACAGCUUUCACAACAAGGUAUGGGUUAUAUGAGUAUACAGUUAUGUCUUUUGGUUUGACCAAUGCACCAGCUUACUUUAUGUACAUGAUGAAUAAAGUAUUUAUGGAGUAUCUUGAUAAGUUCGUGGUGGUCUUUAUUGAUGAUAUUCUGGUAUUCUCUAAAACCAAGGAAGAACAUGCUGAACAUCUGAGAUUGGUCUUACAGAAACUUAGAGAACAUAAGCUGUAUGCUAAGCGUAGUAAAUGCGAGUUUUGGUUGGAGGAAGUUUCUUUUCUUGGUCAUGUUGUCUCUAAUGGUGGUAUUGCAGUGGAUCCUAGUAAGGUGAAAGAUGUGUUGAAUUGGAAACCACCUACAGAUGUAAGCGAAAUUCGCAGUUUUCUUGGUCUAGCUGGUUACUAUCGUAGAUUCAUUGAAGGGUUCUCAAAACUUGCAAAGCCUAUGACUGCUUUGUUAGAGAAGAAUGCUAAGUUUGUAUGGUCUGAUAAGUGUCAAGCUAGUUUUGAGGAGUUUAAGAAGAGAUUGACUACUGCACCUGUGUUGGUAUUGCCAGAUCUGAGUAAGAGUUUCUCUAUCUAUUGUGAUGCUUCUCGUCUGGGUUUGGGUUGUGUUCUUAUGCAAGAAGGUAGAGUUGUUGCUUAUGCAUCCAGACAGUUGAGGAAACAUGAACUGAAUUAUCCUACUCAUGAUUUGGAGUUAGCAGCUGUGGUUCAUGCACUCAAGAUUUGGAGACACUAUUUGAUUGGGCAUAAAAGUGACAUAUAUACUGAUCAUAAGAGUUUGAAGUAUAUCUUCACCCAGACCGACUUGAACUUGAGGCAACGAAGAUGGUUGGAACUGAUAAAGGAUUAUGAUUUGGAAGUGCAUUAUCAUCCUGGGAAGGCGAACGUCGUAGCCGAUGCACUUAGCAGAAAGAAACAUGCUAAUGAGCUUCGGGCGACACCUGAAUCUGAAGAGUUGUGUGCUGAAUUUGCAUAUUUGAACUUGGGAAUCGUAGUAAAUGCUAUGGAGAUUGAGGUCACUCCUACUCUAGAGGAAGAGAUAUUGAAAGGACAGUUGGAAGAUGAGAAACUGAAGGAGAUAGCACAGAAUGUGGUACUAGGAAAAGCACCAGGAUUCAGAAUAGAUGACAAUGGUGUACUAUGGUUUGGAAAAAGGAUAUGCGUUCCAGAAGUGAAGGCUAUUCGUGAUAUGAUUCUGAGAGAGGCUCAUGAGUCAGCAUAUUCCAUUCAUCCUGGUAGUACUAAGAUGUAUCUAGAUCUGAAACAGAAGUACUGGUGGUAUGGCUUAAAGAGAGAUGUGGCCGAAUAUGUUGCUUUGUGUGAUACUUGUCAGCGAGUGAAGGCUGAACACCAGAGGCCAGCUGGACUAUUGCAACCAAUGAAGAUUCCUGAGUGGAAGUGGGAAGAAGUAGGCAUGGAUUUUAUAGUGGGUUUACCUCGUACACAGAGAGGAUAUGAUUCAAUAUGGGUAAUAGUGGAUCGAUUGACUAAAGUUGCUCACUUCUUGCCAGUCAAAACCACUAAUUCAGGAGCUCGACUAGCAGAGUUGUAUAUGGAGCGGAUAGUUUGUUUGCAUGGAGUGCCUAAGAAGAUUGUAUCUGAUAGAGGCACUCAGUUUACCUCUAUUUUUUGGAAAGCAGUGCAUGACUCAUUGGGAACCAAGUUGAAUUUCAGUACCGCGUAUCAUCCACAGACAGAUGGACAGACUGAGAGGAUCAAUCAGAUAUUGGAAGAUAUGUUGAGAGCUUGUGCCUUGCAGUAUGGGACUAGUUGGGAUAAGAGUUUGCCAUAUGCAGAAUUCUCCUACAACAACAGCUAUCAACAAAGUCUUAAGAUGGCACCGUUCGAGGCACUAUAUGGUCGGAAGUGCAGGACACCUUUGUUUUGGAAUCAGACAGGAGAAACUCAGGUGUUUGGUACGGAUGUGCUUAGACAUGCAGAACAACAAGUGCGAACCAUCCGGGAUAAUCUGAGAGUUGCUCAGUCUCGUCAGAAAAGUUAUGCAGAUACACGUAGGAGAGAACUAGCUUUCGAGGAAGGUGAUUAUGUCUAUCUAAAAGUGUCACCUAUGCGGAGUGUGAAGAGGUUUAAUAUGAAGGGAAAGCUAGCUCCAAGGUAUGUUGGUCCGUUUAAAGUUUUGCAAAGGUGUGGAGAAGUAGCGUAUCAGUUAGAGUUGCCUGAAAGUUUAUCUGGCGUGCACGAUGUGUUCCAUGUGUCACAACUCAAGAAGUGUUUGCGUGUACCUGAGGAGCAAUUACCAUUGGAAGAACUUUCUGUUAAAGGUGAUCUCACUUAUGAGGAGUAUCCGGUCAAAAUAUUGGAGACAGCUGAGAGAGUCACCAGAAGUCGGGUCAUCAGAAUGUGCAAAGUACAGUGGAAUCGACAUUCGGAAGCAGAGGCAACUUGGGAAAGAGAGGAUGAUCUGAGGAAGUCAUACUCAUAUCUAUUCGAGUAAGCACCGUUCAAUCUCGAGGACGAGAUUCUUUUAAGGGGGGUAGAGUUUGUAACACCCAAAAUUUGAUUUUCAAAUAAUAGGAUUUAAUUUAAUUUAUUUAAGUACUUUUGUGGGCAUAGAAAUCUAGCAACUAAAUAAUUGUGUGGGAAUUAAAAUUCAGUAUAGGUUUAGCAACCUUGAUUGAGCAUUCAUGCUGGAGCAUCUUUAUUUAUUUGUGCUGCUGGUAUAUGUUGGAUUUUAUUUGCUCUCAAAAUUUGAUUUUAAAAGGCUUUGGAAAAUUAAAAAAAAAAAGAAAAAAAAAACAGCCGGACUCGGCUUGGUGGCCAAUUGGCCGUGAGGCCCAAACUGGCCAGCAGCGCGCGCACUCCCUCCCUCUCCCUCCUUUCUUUGGCUGACGGUUGGGGCCCCCACGUCAGCGCCCUUUCCUUCUUCCUCCCUGCCGUGCUCGAGCAGGAAACGAUUCCUCACCGAAUCGGAUCCGCGGAUCCCGCGAUUUCCUUGCCAAGCGCGCAAUCCGACCACUAUAAAGCUUCUAGCAUCGCUCCCUCGACAUGUUUUCGCAUCUAGGUCGCCAAAACCGAGUCCCCGUGCCUUGUUUCGCGAGUUCUGGAUCUCGCCGGGAGCUCUUUCCGCCGCCGCGCGUGGACACGCCCCUCUGCUAGCUCUCGGCCCGAGCCAAGCCCCCAGCUUCGUUCGCGGUGAGCUUCUCGCCCUCCCGGUAUUUUCCUUUCAAAAAACGGUGCUCGGAAAGGAGAAGCCGAGGAGCUCCGGCGAGUUUUCGCUCUCCGGCCAUGGCGGCCACCGCAUCGGACAGGGAGAGGCCAGCCGGCCACCGCCAAGGACCCCAGGAGCAGCUCGUGACCAUCCAACCGACGAUCAACGGCCGAGAUUAGAACAUACCUGUUCGCAGGGAAUUUUCAUAAAGAGUCCCUGGAAAGAGUGGUUAAUUACCCCGCGGUCCCUGGCGCCCUGGCACAGAUUACGUUUCCUUUGAUUGAAAGCGUAUUCCUGUCUGUUCAACUUGGUUUAUGUUUUCAGCUAAUUACAGAACUGCCACUGAACUUAGAUAGCUUAUAAAAUAUUCAUUUUAACUCUGUUUUUGUCCAUUCAAAUUGCGUUAGGUUCAUAAUUAUAUGCUCUACAUGAUAGAACUAUUUAUUCUCUGUUUUGAAACUUUUUAAUUUUCUGGUACUAUUUAAUUAAUUAUUUCUCUAUAGGAAAUCUUAGAAAAUUCAUAUCUUUCACGUUUUAAUUCCGAUUUUCGUGAACUUUACGUUUGUGUGAUCGUAGCGCUGCGUAGAAUAUUUUGAUAAACUUUUAUAUUUGUUUUACCACUGUUUGGUGUAAUGUUCUAAUUAUACCUUGUUUGCUUUGUGUAUGAUUGUCUCCAUUGGAUUGCGUGUUGUUGAUUGAUGUUUGGGAAUAGACGGUGAGCUGUACGUUGGUGAUCAAGACCAAGCUUUUGAGGACCAGCAGGCUCAGGAGAGCUUUGAGCAAGGCAAGUAUAACUUGGGACCAUCCUUGUUACCUAUUCACUUAUAACUACAUAUAUAUAUCAUAUGCAUGCUACCACCUUGAUGACCGUAGCAAAAUCAUAGCUGAUUGUUAUCCUGAAUUCCUUGUUACCUAUUUGGAUAUGCAUUUGGGUAGUUCUUGCUAGUGCUUGAUUAAUAAUCCAUGAUCUUGUAACAUGAAUAUUUGAAUAUACAAUAAACAAUAAAGUAAGCUUUCUAGCAACUUGAAUAUAAAGGGUGGAAAGAACUCUAGCUUUUGCUGGAUUGAUCUUGACCCUCCAUAAGGACUUAUCCCUUGGCAAAAGCUGGGACAACUCGUACAACCAUGAGGGCUAUAUGGCUCUGGCUUUAGUCAAGUAUGAGUAAGCUUUUCUAGCUUGUUAGAGGUUACCCGAAAGGGCGGAGGGGCUGAACCGUUUUGGGUAUAGUGCGAGCCCCUGUCCUUAUGUGUAUAGGCUGCGCGUCAUUGUGCCAUUCGGAAGGGGGGUAUCUAUAUCUGCGCGCAAAGGAAACCUUGCGGCCCUAACUUGUUAGACGAACCUUUGAAAGACUUCAUAGUGAACCCUGCCGGCUUUCCUUGGAAGUGAGCUAAGAGGUCGACGGGCCUCGGGCGAAAGGGUAAAUCAUGACUCAUGGGUAAAGAUGUACAACCUCUGCAGAGUGUUAAAUCUGGUAUACUAGCCGUGCCCACGGAUACGGGCGGCCCGGAAAACUGACGGAAUAGAUGGACACUAAUGAAUAUGACUAAUGAUAAUAAAUGAUGGUUUAUUAUGUUGUUUAUAUGUGUUAUUCUUAAUUCUUGUAUACAUUGAUCAUGUGGUUAUGGGAUUUAAUUAUGCUACCUUGACAUUUGCUAUCCAAUGAUUAAAUAUGCUAUCAACUAUUAAAAGCUAAAUGCAGUCAAACCAGUGUCAGCUAUUUGAGCCUCAUGAACCCCUGGUUAUACUUGUUGAGUACGAUAUGUGCUCACUCUUGCAAUUUCCCAACACCUCAGGAUAUGAUAAUGAAGGUGACUGGAAUGAGGAUUAUCGUUAUGAGUACUAGGUUUGGAGUCAACCAGUCAACAGUGUCCCUGUGUGGAGCUUCCGUCGAGAGCGUUGUUUAAUAUUAUUAUCAUUUUUGUGUAAGACUAUGUGAUUUAUUAUGUUCCGCUAUGUAAUAAACACUGCAAUGGUACAAUUGAGAUUUGUCUACUUAUGUGUGCGACUAUUCCUGGGGCACAUAUGAGUCUUUUAUGCAUCCUAUUUUGUUCUUAAAAUAUGGGUGUGACAAAAGGAGGGGGGGGGGGGGGCGGCGCCGGAGCUGGGCCGGGGUGCGAUCGAAAAGAAAAAAGAAAAAGGGGAGAGAAGCUGGGCCGCACGUGCUGGGCCUGAGAGGGGAAACUGGGCUGCGGGUGGGAGGAUGGGGUGGCGCCAAACAGAAGGGGUUUUAAUUCGCUUCUUUUUUUAUUCUUUUAUUUCAAAGCUAUUUCAAAACAGUUUAAAACAAUUUUGAACUUUGCUCAAAAUCACACAGUACAAAAAUAUAAAUGCUCCAGCAUGGGUGCACAUACAUGUUACUAAAUCCUAUAAUGAGUUUUGAUUUAAUGAAAUAUUAUUUUUCCUAUAUUUUCAUGAGCACAAACAUACCCAAUUAAAUCAUUUUUCACCUAAUUUAAAAAGAGCAAAUUUUUAGGGUGUUACAAAUCUACCCCCUUAAAAUGAAUCUCGUCCUCGAGAUUCGGAAGAGGCACGGAUUCCAAAAGAGAAGCAUAAACAAGAUAUUGAUCACUAUUUCAACUUCACAACUUGUAUUCCAAAUGCAAGCACUUAUGUCUCGGGAUCACAACUUGUAAAUCAAGGUUUUCCGCAGAAUGUCUAUUAUUCAUAACUGAUUAAAGUCCAUCUUGACUACCAACUUUUUGUCUUACAACUCAAAGACAUGAUAACUUAGCAUGGAUAUGCCUCCUCAGGUAGGAGCGGACCACCUUGAUACUCAAUUCUUUACCCUGAUGGUGUGGUUAAGAAAAGUUUCCACUAGGUAGCAUAGAUCACUCCUUUGUGCGCACAUAACCAUCCAUUGACAAGAACCAAAGGAAUGUCGAGUGACUCUAGCACAAUGAGGUUUACAGUAAAGUUUUCCUUUUACACUUCCUUCGUUGUGGAUUCAGAUUUGAUUCAAUGUCAACUUGCUCUUCUAUAUUGUUAUUUUGAUAGUACUCAGCAUUGUCAUAAUCAUAACAUCUUUCUUCAAAGACAAGAUGAUCAUACUCUUCCCACAUAUCCAUGAGAGGUGUCAUAUUGUGGUCCUAAUCCAUGGGACACUACACUCCCCGUGACCAAUGUCAGUAACUCAGCAUAAAUCGUUGAUCGUAACCAUAGAAUAUCUCAGAAGACAAUUAUCACUUCAAAAUGCAUCAUCCUAUGAUAUCAGGGUACUACCCCCUUAAAAUGAGAUUGAUUGGGCACUACAAGAAAUGUAUGAUUUUUUGACAUAUUUAGUAUGACAAUAGACCGUGAUGUCAUUAUAUCAUCCAGAUUAUGACAUUAUGUAAUAGGCAUUUUGACCUAGUGACAUAAAAAAGUUGGAUGUCAUAAUAAAUGUCAUAGAACUAUUCUAAUUCCAUACCAUGUCUUUGCCACGUCAGCAUUAUCUUACGUGGCAUUUGCCAAAAUAGCACAAAAGAGACACCUUAUUCAGUGACUCGAAAUUGAAACACGUCACUAAUGUAAGAGCGAUGACGCAGAUAAAUAAAACAAGUCACUAGUUGGGAGUCAUCCCUGGCUAACAGACAAAAUGCAUGAUGCGUUCACAGCAACACGAGUCGCUGAUAAAGCAGGAUUGUUGGCAGUGACGCGUUCCUGCAACUCGUGUCUCAUAUCACCCUUCAUGGACCCGAAAAAAUAAUGAAAUCCGGUUAAAUGGUGGAAACUGAAGUCCGACACACCUUCCUCUCCCUCGCGUCUCUUCUCGGGCCAUCACCCUUUCUGGCCUUCUCUCUACUGCACCACAACACUAAUAUAGCGUCACACGUGUGUCGUUAUAAGUUCACUAAUACCAAUAAACUGUUGGCCGUUAUAGCUGGCCCACAGAUCAAAUGUCGGUAAAUGUAUCUAUUGCGUUAAACCAUCUGUCGAUAUAAAUAUUUGGCUGUAUAGUUGAACCAUCGGUCGAGAUAGAUAAACAAAGAGAACGAACAUUCGGUCAGUAUAGAGUGAUGCGUGCUUUGAAAAAGAAAAAAAGACAUGUUCCCUUUCAUGAGAAAAUAAAGAUGGGCCUUCAUGCUACCAGCCCAACUGAACACGACUCCCUCAACCCUAACCCCUAACCCCCACAUCCAGACUCCCCUCAGCCGCCACCCCACACCUCUCUCCGUCUCUUCUCUCGCCUCAAUACCACAGCUGCCGCUGCCGCUGCCGCUUGGCCUCUCUCCACCAUCGCCGGCCUUCUCCCGGCCUCCCUCUCGCUGAGCCUCCUCCUCGCCACCCUCGAACCGCCCUCCCCUUUCCCCUGCAAACCCUGCUCCUCCGCCCCUGCUUCCUCGUCGCCGCGGCGCACAUGCCGUCUCUCCAUGUUGUGCGCAUGUGUCCAUCCUAGUGCUUGGUGCAGCGGCUGUCUUCUUCGAGCACAUCCGCAAGAUCAGAUGCAUGCACUCGUAAGUCAGCUUCUGUGUUCCCGUGGUCAGGCGUUGGCGGCCAGAUCUACGGUAGCUCGGGCGAGGGCGGCCGGAUCCAUGGUGCCAUCUCCUGCGCCCCCCCACCAUGCCUUUGCGUUCAUCUCCAUGGCAGCAGAAGGCACACACAGGCACCACCGCCACUAAGCCCACCUGCGGAAUCUCCGAGAAGGUAGCAGCGAACCACUACCACAAGACUACGUCUGCCAUCCUCAUACAGGCAGCGUAGGUACUAAUCCCAAUCCCAGUCCCCCAUCUGAUCUCCAUUCCUAGAUGGAUCUGAUUUAUCCCUUUUCACAGUAGGUAGCUGAAUUGUAGCUGUCAAACACUCGUAACCUUGAGAUACAGGUGUUGGAUCUGAACUCAGUAGAAUGUUUCAGUCUACUCUUGGGAGGAUUUGGGCAAUUUACCCAUAUUGUUUUGCUACUAGAACAGUCUAAAUUAUUUAGAAAAAAUAUUAAGCCUAUUGACUAGGCCUUUUGCCCUAAUACAGAAAGUUUGUUUUUAACUCUACUAGUGGAACGCAUGACAUAUAACACUGCAGCAUUGGAUACAUGUAAACCUAGUAUGAUGCUGUGGUCCACUACUGUCUUGUUUAGAACAUAAGAGUGUGCCUAGGAAAAUAAUGAUGUAGUUUAAUUAGGCUGUUCUUCCGAGCAGAGACACUUAUGAGCCCAUGAGGGAAAAUUCUACUCCAAGGAUGCUGGCCACUCUCCCGUCAAUAUGUUCUCAUCAUGAGUAAAUGGCAGCAUUUGUGGUUAAUUCAUCAUGAUUAAAUGGCGGCAUUUGUGGUUAAUUUCGUUGACUACUUUCAGAUAACUAGAUUACUUUAGUGCCUCAUUAAGUCAUUAGUUGGUUAGCUAAUAAGCUUGAGUUAGUCCUAUAUUACAUGCAUAUCAAGUUAUUUUUAGUUCAGCAUUGUUGUGUGGCACAAACAUAUUUGUUUCAAUAUAUGCAGCCUUGGAUGUAGUCUGUUAUGCUAUUAGAGGGUUGCUCAAUAUAUGCAUUUGACUAUUUGUUUCACAUGUUAUACAGGUGAACAUUCCUAAGACCAAGAAGACCUACUGCAAGAACAAUGAGUGCUGGAAGCACACUCUGCACAAGGUGACUCAAUGCAAGAAGGGUGACGAUAGCCUAUCAGCACAAGGUGACUCUGCUAACUUUCUAAAUCUUUGUACUCCGUGGCAAGCUCACUAUAGUUCAUUUUCACUGGAGAGUUCAUUUUCUUUAACUGAACAUACAGAAUUGUUUACACAAUUCUUGUUUGAUGACUAUUAGCUAGUGAUCAUAUUCACUUCUUGCAGCUUAGUGGCUUCGAAAUUCCAUUACAGAAAUAGAAUUACAAUACCUGGAGGAAACCAUGAGAGCACACAAAUCAUUUUAGUGAGUUUACAUGUACUAGUAUUUGGAUUUUUUAUUUUGACUCAUAAUUACAGUUGUUAUAUAACCUGCUGAUGCUUCUGUGAGUUUACAUCAAUAUUUGGGCUGUCCUAGUGAUAAUACUGCUAGGUGCUAUUUUCAUAUUCAUUGACAGUAGAUUUUCAUACUAGUUAGUAUACAGUAUAGGCUACUAGCAGUAGCACUAUAACCUGUCUAGGAAGAUAUGUCAUGCUACUCUGUCUUUCUGAUAUCAUACAUAUGUAGACCAUAGUUUCUCUCUAAUUACUCAAACUCUGUAGGGAAUAGCUCAUAGCUACCGAGCUAGUUAUUAUUAAUAUUACUAGAAGUUGCUUCAAUCUUGUUAUGUUCUAUCUGAACAUAGGGUUUUCUUGCAUGUUAAUAAAAAACUUAAAAGUUACAUGGACCAAUCACCUCUAUGUAUGCAUAGAAAUAAUUUCCUAGAUACAUGGACCAAUCACCACUAUGUAUGCUAUGCACCUCUAGACUUGACAACUACUUCCUGUUUUGUAGAAAUUGAGCAAAAUGACAUUUCUUACAUUUAUGUCUUUAAUUAACUAUCUGUUGUAUUGUUGUAGCCUAGAAGCAGUUGGCCUACAUUGAGCUGAGAGGAAAGGAAGUAGCUAGAAGGUGGAUACUCUAUGUAAUUACUUACUGUGAAGUGUAAUGUGAUGUGUGAACUAAUCUGUGUACUUGAAGUGUGAACUAUCUAUACUGCUGUGAGAUGUACCAUAUUGUGAAACAUGGGAUUCAUGAAUGUACACCGUGGACCUAUUUUUUUUAUUUCUGUAAAUUGUUAUCAAAGACGCAUUUUGGCUAUAUGUGUCACUGCUAUCUUCACAAAAGUGACGUGCCCUUUCCACGUCACUAAUGACCCUCUGGACGUGUCACUAAUAUGCUUUUCUGGCAUAGUUAUUAUGACAAAUAACCAAUGUCAUACCUUAUGACAAAGAAUAUACAGAUGUCACAUGAUCCAUUUAUGACAGUGAUUUUUGGACAUAUAGUUUUUUGUCAACUAAUUGUCACAACUCUUAUAUUGUGACAUUAUUUUCAUAUGUAAUAACAUAAAUAGAAAGUCAAAAAAUCACAGGAUUCUUGUAGUGGGGGGACACUAGAGACUACUUCUCCUAUCCUUUCUAGACGCUACACAUCAUAUAGUCUUUUAAAUUUGCUGUACCGAGUCUCUUAAUCCAAGGUUAGUUUCAUCACUAAGUUCCAACUAUCGGUACCUUUAUCACAGUUAAGUUGCUCCACUCUCACACUAUACAUACAAAUCUGUAGACUUUGGUGUCAUCUGAUCCUCAUACACAACUCUUAAUCCAUGAGUAUCAGUAAUGACAUAAACCUCCAUUAGUAUUAGCACACUCCAAAUAGAAUGAUAUCUUGAAACAAACCAACAUACCAAGCACUUGAUGUACUUUAUAGAUGUUCCAGUCUUUAACCACUUCUUCUCCUUGUAGCUUCUUCAAUUGGGCUACCCCCCUUAAGGAAAGUCAACCAGGGGACACCAGAAAGGUAGCUUGCACGUUUCGAGAUAAGUUAACUAACAUUGAGAACCUCUGACGUACCAAAGAACUUAUGUGUAAGGGGAGAACAAACAAGUAUCCUGAAAUUUCCUCGUGAUAUGAAAACACCAGCGUAGUAAAAUAGGUAUAACUCUUAUUCUGUUAAUCCAAUAGAGUUGUAGCUUAUACCGUUAGAAAGAUUAUGAAAUUCACCACAACUUUCAUGUAGAAUACUUCCUCAGGUUCUGUCUUUAAACUUGAGUAAAACAGCCAAACUUAAUAUCCAUCCUAACACUGUCUCAGCAAAGGUGCAGUAACUUCCAGAAGUUAUAGCUCGAGCUACUUAACUCAUCUUGAGAUGAUCCUUACAUUUUUGAAAAGCUUAGGAAAUCCUCUACAACUUUCAUAUACAAUGUUUUUCCAGAUUCUGACUUUAACUUGGCUGAAAAUAGGAAAUACCAGAUCUGUCCAGAUUUCGAAACAGAACAGAAAUAUCCAGUUGUAAAUAUUAUAUCUCGGGUUCUACUUGUCCAAAUAAGUUCCAGCUUAUACCGUUGGAAAGCUCAGCAAAUUGUCUACAACUUGUAUAUAGAACACUUUUCCAAAUUCUAUAGCUAUAUUUGUCUCAAACAGUAGGCCACCAAAACUGGUCCAGGUUCUUGACAGCACAGUUGUAUCAUUUUGUGAUUUUUGGAACUUCCAAACCAUAAUAGCUAUGAGGGUGAUUCAUACGGUCAGAGAAAGAUCUUGAAGUCUAGUUGUUCUCAGAUAAAUUUGACAAACUUUGCACGAACAGAACUUGAGAUACACCAUGAUUCUUGUAGACUGCUCUAGAAAUCAGCAAGGGAUGGAAACAUGAGAUAGCCAAACCCAACUACUUAUUUCAUUAAUCCUUAUACCUUAGGCGUAUGAACUAAAUGAAAUUGUGGAGGAAUCCCACAAGAUCAUUGCAAUCAUUACAAAGAUCCAAAUCAAGAAUAAACAUAAUAACAAACCAAAUAAGCAUUAAAGGUUCACACUUCACUCAACUUGCAAUAUUGUCGUUCUCUUCAUAGUAAGGGUAGAGAUCCUAAAAUUCUUUUUCAACUAAGUAAGCAGGUGGUAAGAGAAGAUUCUAAAAGCUUAUCAAAUCAAGGAGUGAAGAUGAUAACAAGUACUUUUAAAAUAAGCAACAAGGUAGAGACAAAUAGCAAGGAUAGGGAUAUAGUAUGGAUGAAAAUACCAAGGUUUAUAGAGCAAGGAUUUUAUGACAAUUCUAAAACCUUAAGACGACCAAUUUCUAUCUAGGCUUGCGUCCUACAGUCAGCAUUGCUUUGAUACCACUUUGUAAUACCCGAUUUUAAGGACAAAACCAGAUAUGCACCAUAUGCGAGUUUUAUAAGGCAAAUCUCACAUAUAGCUACAAAUAAGGGGUAAUAUCAAAAGACAAUGCAUAAAACAUAUAACGUACAUAAUAUAAAAGAGAUAACCUUUGAUAGCAAACAACGGAUAGACAACUCUAAACUUCGGGUAUUAACUCCUCUCCACAGGAUCCAACUGACUGGUUGAUCACAAGCCCAAAACUUCUCCUGAGGUGUGGGGGAAAUUGCAAGAGUGAGCACAUAUCGUACUCAACAAGUAUAACCAGGGGUUCAUGAGGCUCAGUUAGCUGACACUGGUUUAACUGUAUUUAGCUUUUAUAAGUAGAUAGCAUAUUUAAUCAUUGGAUAGCAAAUAUCAAGGUUAUUACCGUAUCAAUGUAUACAAGAAUUAAGAAUAAUACAAAUAAACAACAUAAUAAACCAUCAUUUAUUAUCAUUAAUCAUGUUCAUCAGUGUCCAUCUAUUCCGUCAGUUUUCUGGACCGCCCGUAUCCAUGGGCACGGCUAGUAUACCAGAUUUAACACUCUGCAGAGGUUGUACAUCUUUACCCAUGAGUCAUGAUUUAUCCUUUCGAGGCCCGUCGACCUCUUAGCUCACUUUCAAGGAAAGCUGGCAGGGUUCACUAUGAAGUCUUUCAAAGGUUCGUCUAACAAGUUAGAGCCGCAAGGUUUCCUUUGCGCGUAGAUAUAGAUACCUCCCUUCCAAAUGGCACAAUGACGCGCAGCCUAUACACAUAAGGACAGGGGCUCGCACUAUACCCAAAACGGUUCAGCCCCUCCGCCCUUUUGGGUAACCUCUAACAAGCUAGAAAAGCUUACUCAUACUUGAAUAAAGCCAGAGCCAUAUAGCUCUCAUGGUUGUACGAGUUGUCCCAGCUUUUGCCAAGGGAUAAGUCCUUAUGGAGGGUCAAGAUCAAUCCAGCAAAAGCCAGAGUUCUUUCCACCCUUUAUGUUCAAGUUGCUAGAAAGCUUAUUUUAUGGUUUAUGGUAUAUUCAAAUAUUCAUGUUACAAGAUCAUGGAUUAAUAAUCAAGCACUAGCAAGAACUACCCAAAUGCAUAUCCAAAUAGGUAACAAGGAAUUCAGGAUAAUAAUCAUCUAUGAUUUUACUAGGGUCAUCAAGGUGGACACAUGCAUAUGAUAAAUGUUAUAUUAAUUGUGUAUAGGUAACAAGGAUAGUCCCAAGUUAUACUUGCCUUGAUCAAAGCUCUCCUGAGCCUGCUGUCGUCAAAAGCUUGACCUUGAUCACCAACGUAUCACUCACCGUCUAUACUCGAUCAUCGAUCAACAACACGCAAUCCAAUGUAGACAAUCAUACACGAAGCAAACAAGCUAUAAUUAGAACAAUACACCAAACAGUGGUAAAAUAAAUAUAAAAGUUUAUCAAAAUAUUCUACGCAGCGCUACGAUCACACAAACGUAAAGUUCACGAAAAUCGGAAUUAAAACGGUGAAGUUAUGAAUUUUCCAGGAUUAUCUAUAGAUAAAUAAUUAAUUAAAUGCUACUGCAAAAUUUAAAAGUUUCAAAACAGAUAAUAAAUACUUCUAACAUGUAGAGCUCGUAAAUAUGAAUCUAACGAAAUUUGAAUGGAUGAAAACGGAGUUAAAAUGUGUAUUUUAUGACCAAAUCAAUUUCAAUGGCAAAACUGUAAAUAACAGAAAACGUAAUCUGCCUAAGCCGAACCAGAAUACGUUUUUAAACGGAGAAAACGUAUUCUGCGCAAGCCGCCAAGGACUGCGGAGUAAAUACUGAAAAGUUUCAGGGAUUCUUUAUGAAGUUUCGCAGCGAAGGGGUACGCUUUGUUUUGGGAAAAGGGACGCGUUGGGGGAAAGCCAAGGCUAAAUAGGGCUCGGGAAAAUCAAAUCCCGUGGAAACCGGGAUUUGAGGCAGAGCCUUCUUCGGCUUGGAGCCUUGGAGUCCCAGCCGCCCACGGUUCAGGGAAGAAGAAAAGGGAAAUGAGGAGGAAGACGCUGCCGCGUGGGGCCCAGUCGUCAGCGAGAGAGAGAGAGCGGGUCCCAGUUGACAGCGGAACAGAGGAAAGGAGGGGGGGGGGGCGCCGGAGCUAGGCCGGGGUGCGAUCGAAAAGAAAAAGAAAAGGGGGAGAGAAGCUGGGCCGCACGUGCUGGGCCUGAGAGGGGAAACUGGGCUGCGGGUGGGAGGAUGGGGUGGCGCCAAACAGAAGGGGUUUUAAUUCGCUUCUUUUUUUAUUCUUUUAUUUCAAAGCUAUUUCAAAAUAGUUUAAAACAAUUUUGAACUUUGCUCAAAAUCACACAGUACGAAAAUAUAAAUGCUCCAGCAUGGGUGCACAUACAUGUUACUAAAUCCUAUAAUGAGUUUUGAUUUAAUGAAAUAUUAUUUUUCCUAUAUUUUCAUGAGCACAAACAUACCCAAUUAAAUCAUUUUUCACCUAAUUUAAAAAGAGCAAAUUUUUAGGGUGUUACACUCUAUUGGAUCGUGAAAGAAAAACUUGGAGGAUUUAUGAAGGAUUAUGAGGACGCUACGCUAGCCAGAAAACAAAAAUUUCAACCUCUCAUAAACUAGGAUAACUACUAGUUAUAGAUCACGGGAUUACCACUAGACGUGCAGGUGCAGUGAAAGCAACUCGGUGUAGUCAUGCACGUAGUAGCAGUGCCAUGUAGUUGCAUGGUCAUCCGUCAUGUCAAUCCCUCUCAUGCGAUUCAUCCGUCAUGUCAACACCUCCAAGGUAUCCCACACGUAGAGAGAAGAAACGUCGUGCCUCCAGCGGCGAGGAGCAACAGGCGCGGGUGUGGGUGAGCGGCGGUGGCUGCCAAAUGACAUGAGUAACCCUGACUGCCCCCACCCUCUCUUUUAUAGGCGUCCCCAAUCAGCCCCAAGUUUUAGGCCCAAUUAGAAAACCCUAAGCCUUGUCUAAUUCGGGUCCAACCCAAAUUAGGCUUCCAGCCCCUUAAGCGUGCGACUAUAUGAGUUCACGUACAUAUAGACAUAAGCCGAGUACUCCUACUUGCCAAAUAGUUGACAACGGCCUCUAGCAAGGCGUGACAACUCCUAUACGUAUGCAAAGAUCAUAUCAGACGAACCACUACAAACACAUACAUGUUAUUCCCUUGCCACCUAUCCCAACAAUUCUAGUCAAUUAAUAUCUCUAGAUCCAUCAAUGGCUAUGUCACACUAUUCACUAAGAGCUCUCAAACAAGCUACACUAAAGAGCUCCACUAGAUGAUAUUAAACUAGCAACCAUACAAGGUCUCAAAACUAAUUACACUAAAGAACUUGUUACAACUAGUUUGCAAGUAAGUAAAAGAGUGAGUAUGAUGUUUAUACCGCCAUAUAGAUGGAUGAACAAAUCAUAAAAUUAAUUUCAAUACAAUCAUCGGGAUAAUACUAAUGGUUCACGUGCUUGCCGGCAUGCUAGUCCCUGUUAUGUUGACCAACACAUGGUGGUUCAACGGCUAAGAGGUGUUGCACGAACCUUGCCCACACAAUUAGAUAUUGCAAGAAGCUACCCACAAGUAAGCUCACUCAACGACAUGAGUAACCCAAUAGAGUUAUCAUUUAGCACUUCACCGGGAAAGGCACAAGACCCCUCACAACCACCAACUUGUGCUAAUCCUCUUAUGCUACUCCAACCCAUCUAGGUGAGGACAUCCACCAAGAGUAACAAGAAUUCCAUAGCUACAAUGAUCCCCAAGUGCCACUAGAUGCAAUCACCCAAGAAAAUACAAUAGGAACCACUCUUAAUCUCACUAUGAUGAUGAAUCAAUGAUGGAAAUGAGUAGAAGAUGUUUAUUUAGGCUCACAAGGAUGUCAAGUAUGUCAAGUAACAAGAGAGUGAGCUACAAGUCAACUAACCCCCCUCACAAAAUUGAGCCAUUGGCUCUACACAUGCAUGACCGGACAUGCUUCGGUCCCUGGCAUAUGAUCAAUAGAUGGCCACCACAUGGCCCACCUACAAACUAGAGCACCACUUGUACUACCUUGAUUUUGAUCAUGAGAACCACUAGCUUACAUAAUUGAGGAAGAGAGCACCUAAUCUUUGUCAUCUUCGACAUCUAUCACUUCUCUAGGCCUUAUGUCACCAACAUCAUCCAUCUUCUUCAUUGCAUUGGCCAAUUGAGUGCCUCUCACAUCAUCCACAUUCUCAUCUUUCUCUUGGAAACCAUUGGUGUCAUCAAAUUCCACAUCACAAGCUUCCUCAAGAAUACCACUAGCCAAGUUGCAAACACUAUAAGCCUUGCUAGUAGUGGAGUAACCAAGUAAGAAACCUUCAUCACAUUUCUUCUCAAACUUGCUUAAUCUAGUAUCUUUCUUCAAUAUAUAGCAUUUGCAACCAAGCACCCAAAAGUAUGCAAUAUUGAGCUUUUAUUGCUUAACAACCCUCAUAGAAAUUGUCUUGAGAGGGUUAUGAGCUAACUCUUCUAUUUUUUCUAGCCAACCAUCUAUCAAUCCAGAACAUAGUAUUUGGGCUAUUUCCAUCCAAAGAUUCGACAGCCAGCUUGAAGAUGGCUUGAGCAUUAUGUGACAUAUGAAUAGGCAAGCCGGCCAAGGAUGAGAAGCAUAAGUUUUUCCAGCCAUAGGCAACAAAUACAGAGUAACCAACCUAGACAUUCUAAGUUAUGAAUGUCGAGGCCACCAAACUGCAAAGGGUUGAUUUACAAGUUCUCAAGAGACUAGGAAACUUCCACCAUUAGCCUUUUCAUGACCGACCUAGAGCCGUUGUGUAUUUUAUUUGUCUACAGCUUUAAUCACCCAUUUAGAGAGGUCAAAAUGCAAUCAUGAGGUACAUAGGAAUAGUGAUUAUAACAACUUUCACAGUGAUGAGCUAGCCAACAUGAUUCAUGAGUGUUGCCUUCCAGUUCAGAAUAGAUUAUCAACCACUUUAUCAACUAGUUUGAGCAAUUUAGUUUUGAAGAAUUCACUACUACAAAAACACUUUUACAAGACGUUUUGAUUUAGUCCUCGGAGGCAGUUGGGCCAAUUGCCUGCCUCGGUUAAUACUUAGCAUUAACCGAGGCGGUCGCUUUACCGAGGCGGUUACAGGAAACCGUCACGCAAAAUCCAUCAACCGAGGCAGACAUUAUAAUGUAACUGCCUCGGUUAAUAGACAUUUAGUGAGGCGGGCAUCCUAACUCAACCAUCUCGGUAAAUCAUUAACCGAGAUGGGCAUUCUAAUUCUACCAGUCUUGAAAAAUCAAGCCCAUCCCAAUAGCCCACAUAGUUCAUUACCAACUCUAGUAUAUACACAAAAUGAGCAACAAACCCUAACUCUCUCACUCCCUCUCCCAGAGCUGCACUCUCCUUCUCUUCUUGCGACCUCCAACACCGAGCAUGAGCAACGCCCCAUCUCCCUCCUCAUGAGAUCCGUCUCUCUCCUUGAGACCUCUCUUUCCCUCUCGAUGGCGGGCGUCGCGCGCUCUGGCAUCACGAGUACCGCGCCCCGGCGUUGGGGGCCCGACGGUGGAGGCUCGAUAGCAGGCUCGGUCACCUCUUCGGCUGGCGAGCGGUGUGCCCCAACGAUGAGGUUGUCGCGUGCCCCAGCCUCCUCUCCUCCCUCCUACAUGGCUGCGUGAGGUCCAUGGCUCGAUGACGAGCCGUGGCGACGUAGUUCUGAGGUACCUUAGCUCUCCCCAUCUCUCUCUUUUCAUCUAUUCAUCUCCUUCACUCUCUACCUCACCGGUGCUCAGAUCUACGGUGGUAGCGGGCAGAUCCAUGGUGGCUUCGCGUGGAAGAGCCUCCUGACGGCGGGUGCCUACAGCAGCGGCGCCUCAGCACUCCCUCCCUCCCCUGGAUCCGGCGAGCGGUGCUUAGAUCCGGCAUCGGUGGUGGCAGCGAUCUAUUGGGAUUGGCGGGCCCGUCGAUGGGCUCAGUGGGCUCGUCGAUGGGCUUUUUUUUUAUUUUUUCUGAUUUAUUUACCGAGGCGGGCAACAAACCAUCUCGGUUAAUUCUUGAUUAACUGUGACCUUUGUUUGGAGGUGGUUUUCUUUGCCCGUCUCCAAAAAUGAAAAACAACUGCCUCCGUUAAGUUUAUUGUAGUAGUGAUUUUCUGAUACUCAAAGGAAGACCGAAAUAAGUGCAAGAAAAAUCCUUUAUCUGUCAAGCCAAAAGAUUGGUUAUCAACUCCCGCUCUUCGGUGGGUGGUAAACUGAGCUCUUAGCAAUAUUAAUUAUGCCCAAAAAUAUCAAGCAACUUUCUGAUGAGAAAGAGAUCAUGGGCAUUUGGCUGAAGGAACGUCACCACAUCAUCAGCACAGAGGAUAUGUUGCUGAGGCUGCUACAUUGCAAGUGGCUGUAGAAAACCUUCUGGCCGGAUUCACUAGAGAGUUGAGAACAUCCACAUCACUAAUUUUUUGGGAUAUAUAUACAACCCCUCGGCAAUUCUUAUAACGCUUUUGGAGAAACAUCAUAAAUCAAUGACUUAUUUCUCAAUUAUCAUAAGGAAUACAUCGGCAUAUUUGUUGUAGUGUAUUCUUAGCUGGUAAAACUAGCCACCUCUACAAAUCGAUUUGUAGGGCGGUUUGGGAAUCGCCCCUACAAACCGGCCAUUUGUAGCAACGAUUUGAUAGGGGCCGCUGCCAAAACCGCCUCUAUAAACCAUCUUUAGCCGCCCCUAUAGAUCCUGAAGGUAGUAGUGCAGUUUAAUCAAUUUUAUGGAGAAGGGUGUAAACAUUUAUGUCACUAAAUCUAGCUAAUGACACUUAUUUUGCAUUAUAAUCAUUCAUAUACUUUUUUAAAAAUUUGACCUAGCAAAAAAUAGAAGAACUUCAUUUUAUGGAAAGAGUGCAUAGUCAGGGGCAGAUUUUGCGGUGGGUGGGUGGGCCUCAUGCCCCUCCUACCACCUUCAUGGCAAUGGAUCCCCUCCCUGGCCUCCUAAUUUUUGGAUUCAUGGAAGAGAAAAAGGAGGGGCUCUAGAGAUUGAAGAUGACUUCAGUCCCCUCUUCCAUUAAAUCCUAGAUCGAUCCGUCACUAUGCAUAGCUUUUUAACAGAAAUAAUUGUAGACAAUGACACAUAUAUGUUGACAUUCAUUGUAUUGUUUAGAGUUUGCAAAAGGUACAACUAUUGCAUCUUACAUUAAGUUUGAUUUGGUUAAACCACAAGCACUACUACAUAUAUUACAUUCUACUACAACUUUGAAGCUAACAUUUUGGAAUAAAGUAAACCGUAUACACAAUAUAGAUAGCUACUCAAUGCAUAUGGUUCCUCGCUGAUAUCCUAGCUCCUAGCAGUGAUGGAUGCCCUGGACAAUCCAAAGUUUAGUUGUUCCAGCUGUUGUUGCUCGGGAUGUACUCGUGGAGCCAGAUCUCACGCCCCCGUAUGAAGAUCGAGGCAUGUUCGACGCCGUUGAGUAGCAGGCUCACGAACCCUUUCCUCUUGAAGAUGACGCGGCCGUACAUUGGCUGUGCACCACCAGUGGUCUUCUCCAUGAGAACGCGGACAAUGCAGUCACCCCAGAUCCUGCAUGCAUUAUUUGAUGAGGUUAUGCAAUCAUGACAAGUAUAUAUAUAUAUAUAUAUAUAUAUGGCAUUGACAAAGCAUGUGUCAAUGAGUUGAUGCAGAACAUACUCCCUGAAGUAGCUAAAGAUCUCUUCUCGUUCGACUGCCUGACCCAGUGAGAAUGUAACGAACAUGGAGCGGCAGUCCUCUGGCAUGGUGGUGAUCACGCCGGCGUAGGGUGCUUCGAGCUCUGGGUUGCGGCUAACUAGGCCCGUCUGAUGGCGGCGCAGCAGGUGGUAGAGGCGAUUGUCAAAAAUCAGUGUGCAAACACCAUCGAGGAGGUCGGUGACACCGCGCACAAUGAGGUCCCGGUUGACGGGGAAGAAGAGGGGGUCGUCCAUACGGCUGUCCUGGCACAGCGCGGAGAGGAGUGGAGUUGGAGGGCCGGUGAGGAGGUUCCUCAUGUUAAGGCAGCGGAUGAUGUGGCUGGCCUCAGUGACCAGGUGGUCUAGGCCGGUGGUGCUCAUGCCCUGCAGACGAGAGAUGACCUGGUUUGUGCCCCGAUCGAAACAGAGAAGGAGCGCGACGACGUUCCGUGCCACCUGCGGGUGGCAGCUGCAAUCGACAAUCAAGCGCUCGUAUACGGCGUGGGCAAAGGUGUAGCGGUACAGCACGUCGCGGACGGUGGUGACAGCGGCCAUCAGUGGAGGGUGGAACUAAGCAAACAAGACAGCUAGCUCUAGCUAAUAGCAAUUGAAGAGCUUACGAAUGGGUGAUUGGUUGAUGUGAUGGAAGGGAAGCUCCAGGCCGGGGAUUUAUAGGCCAAGGGGAAGGACACGAUCUAGCAGGUAGUUUCUAGGUUGGAUCAUUGACGAGAAAAAACCUUCCAUACAAAGCUUCCUGAUAAAGAAAUAAUCGCUUGUAUAUGAAUAGACAUCUUCUGUCUAUAUUGUCUAGUUUAGAGGACAAUGAUUAUUGGCUAAAUUUUCUAUUUACUGCCUGAUGGCUACUUCGCUUCAAUUUUGGGACUACAGUAAUGCUUGAAAAUCUUUUGGCUAUGCCUUCUACUGCACACUUUCUUGGCAUGCAGUCAAUGCUUAACAAAAAUUAUCAGAUCUUCUUUUGGCUAUGCCUUCUAUUGCAUACUUUCUUGGCAUAUAGUCAAUGCUUACCAAAACUUAUCCAUGACUGAACUUAGUCACAGAAAUAUAUAUAGGGUAAUAAUUAAUCCAUUCCAAGCCCAUUAUCAGGUACAACUGAUACGUUAACCAGCUAGUAGCUUUAAUUUGCUACUCUGCAUUCAAAAUUAUUUAUUUAUUUCAUGCCUUACAAACACAUGUAGCUAUUAUAUGCACUGCCAUCAAUCCAAGCCACAUAUUAUACAGAACUUCAUUAUCAUUCACAAGCCAUUCCAAUUUUGAAUUGGAUGAUGAGAUGAAGUCCGCAAAUGGAUGCACUGAUCCCUAGGCCAUUUGACUAUGAUGAACUUAUCACUGGUUGUAUCAACAAUUUUUUUUUUCUUUUCCACAUUCUUACAUAGAGGCCCUAACAAACAUACAAAUUACUCUCUCUGUCCUGAACAUAAAAAACGCAUGUAUCCUUAUUUUAUUUUCUAAUCAGACACUAUCAUCAACUUGAUUGAUGGUGAUUGGUUGAUAAAUAGAAAAUAUUUAAUGCAAAAUUGAUUUUUGUUCUUUAGAAUGUAUUAUAUUUGAGGACAAAUUUUGAAUGAUAGAAUACACUGUAUUAAAGGAGAGGGAGUAAUAUAUAAGCUCAGAGAGGUCAUUGACACAACCAUCUCCAUUUCCAAUCUAUGUAUCCUGCCACUGAAUCAUUAAGGGGACAACGAACAAAAUAAAGAUGGUAGAACUAAGAAUUUGUUUUCAACCUAGAAAAAUGACUUAGAACCUUAGCAAGUCACAAAAGAGACAACACCCUAUCAUCCUCUUUUUUAAAAAAAAGAAUACAAAAACUCCAACACUACUUUAUCUAUGUCAACCAAAUGGAUGGUGCAAAAUCAAAUCUACAAAAGUAUUUAGUGGACAAAGGAAUAACUUGCUACCUUGUCACAUACCUCGUUAGAGCUAAGAAUACCCAGAAACAAGCUUAAAACCUUAACCAUGUUCCAUGUUGUAAUACCUAUGGAGAGAAACCUCUUAAAGUAGAAUUAUUGGAGACGCUCUGUAGAUCGACGAUGAAUAUGGCGAGUUCCCUUUCCUCCCUAUCGCUGGGGAGGUCAUCGGAUCUGGAGAAGAACAAAGACUAAUGUCAAGUAGCUAGGACCUGAGUCAUAAGAGCCAUCACAUUAAGGAGUGGAACAAAGACAUUGGUUGUAGGCAGAGGUUGAUUCUUAUAUAUAGGUCACAUCUUUGUAACGACAAUGACUGUUACGUUUGAUCAAUUUGUGCCUAUAUUGAUGUCAUCUUAGCAAAAGACCCAACAUAAACAAAGGCAGCAUAAAAUCCGCUGAUGCAAAUAAAGGGAUACAAAUAUCCAACAUAGUUAGACAAAGACAUAUGUCCAUAGCUAGUAUGCAUAUAUCAUUACCUAGCUAGAAUUUUGGAAACCUAAACAUUUGCCACGUCUUUACCAUGGAAGGAAAACUCACAAAGAAGAGAUUAUUUGGACACUAAGACUAGCAUAGCUUAGAUAUAUGAAUAUGAUGAGUCUCCCCUCUUCACCACCAGCGAGUCAACAAACCCUAAGGAGGGUUUGACCAAUAUAUGAGUUGGUCGAGACCCAAGUCAUGAGAGCCAUCACAUCAAGGAGUACCAUUAUAGUUUUUGUUCUAAUUGGUUGAUAAUUAUGUAUGUUUUGUCUUUAUAACCACAAUUGCCAUCUCUUAAGAAUCUCAGUUUGCCUAGUCCUCAAGGCAAUGUAUUGAUUUAUUGAAGGUGCAAUUGUUGAUGUGUUGCAAUUGUUGUAUUCCUUCCUAAGGAAUCUCUUAGGAAUCUUGUCAACUAAAUAUCCUUGAGUAAAUAACGCCCAUGAUGGAACCAUAAAAAAGGAUAAUGCAAGCUUGACAUGUAUGGUAUGUGUUAGGAUUAAUCACCAGCAGUAUUAAUGGCACUCUCGAGUGUAGGCAUUCUUUUCCUUCCUCUUGAAUCUCGAGUUUGAUCCUAAAAAUAGAUGGAAAAAAUGUUUAAGUAUAUAAUGCUCACUAGUGCAUCUUGAUCAUGGUAUUUAUGCAAGAGGUAUGUAGAAAACCAAAGGCACAUUUGACUGUUGGAGAAUGCCACCCUUUGUUGUGGGAUGCGACGAUUCCAUGUUGAUUUCUCUAUGUGAAAGACUCCCACAUGUUGCUUUUACUAAUAAAUAGAACCAAUCUAGGGAUGCCAGGCUAGGAGAUGCAACUAAAUACAACAACAAAAUAGGUCGUUAUAACAACUUAGAAUCUCCUGAUCUAAUAAAACCUAAUGACUAUCAGGGCCGUCCCGGACAAAAUGGAGGCCUUGUACGAAACUUAGGGCCUCAGCGGGGGCACCUCACUAUGUGUUGGCUGUUGUCGUCAGUUCCUCGUGGUUGAUGAUCGCGGCCGGUGCCCGGCGGCAGAACUGGUGGUGAUAGGAGACGACAGACGACAGACGAGACCUAACUGCGCGCUGUGAAUUUAGAUCGUCAAAACAAAUUGAUGCCAGUGCCCACCGUCCAGACAGACUUAGACUAGCGCUAGUGGCAGGCCAAUAAGUUAUUGGGCUGUAGUGCUGCAUAAUUUGGCUUGCUAAAUGCCGUAGCUAAUGCUGUGCUUAUCUAUAUAAAGUAUUAUAUAUUUGGAGGCCUACAACAUUUGGAGGCCGUGCGCCGUCGCUCAUGCUGCACUUGCCCGGGGACGGCCGUGAUGACUAUUAUACAGAUUUAUGUAGAAAAGGCUAUCUAACAAGGGACACCAAGAGCCAAAUUAGACUUACACCUCUAACACCAACCUAGAGAUAUGUUAUCAAAUCUAGCAAGGACAACAAUGAGAUUAAGAUUUUCACAAUUGAUCAUUUCCUCACUCUUAGUGUUAGAGAAAAUAGUCUGUAAGCAAGUACUUAUUAACUGCAAAGGAAAUAUAUGGUCCUAUCAGAACCCUCAUAUACUUAGUAGCAUAAUUGGAGCCAAGGAGAGAACACUCAUAUAAUUAUGAAAUGGUGGAGCAAUGGAUAUGGAAAUAUAUCAUGUAUGGAUAUAUAGUGACUUUCAUCUCAUGAGGACCUAGACAAUGAUGCUCUCUACCCUAGCCCACUUGAAGGAGGAGAUGUAGCAAUGGUGAUGGUGGAAGUGGAUUUGGCUGUUGGGAAACCUAGACAACAUUUUUUAUGUUGCUACCCUAAAAGAUAGGACUCGAUCUUGAUGCUCGGUGACAAGCUUGUUAGUUUAAGCGGAAGGGGAGCUUCUGGGCAUAUGGGAGGAGAUGGAUAGAUAGGCCAUCGAUACAUAGUUGGUUGUCCACCUCUACCUCGACAUAGGCUAGAGGUCUCUAAUGAGGCCCAAUAUGCAUAUUAUGUUCAAGUCCACCUUGGACUCUAGGAGCAGUCUGUACUAAAAUAGAUGCCUAGGACCCAAGCAAGCUUUGUUUUUGUGUUCUACCUAUGCACAAAAGAUAAAAAAGAUAACCUAACCAUUGCUGUUGGUUUCAUGUCAAAAUUCUUUCAUAAUUAAAGGGAAUCAUUGAAACAAGUUGACAUUCAGAAUCAGCUAGAAUGCUACAUAGGGAUGCGAAUAUGGGAUCCUUGGCCUCCCAUUAGACUAUAUAUUCAAUAGUCAUCGCCUCAGUUAGAGUUUGUGUUUUGCUUUAUAUCAAUUUGUCUUAAAACAAUCGUUGUUCAUUAGUUUGUGAGACCCCACAUUCAAGUGCUUAAUCAUUCAUAUGCAAUUGUCACUUCAAUUGAGUUCGAGUUCUUGCUUGUGUUGUUCGAUUGUCUUGUAGGGGUUAGCCUUCUUGGCAAGGUCAACUAGACUGUGACACUGUUGAUAACUCGAGGAGACAUGGUGAUAAGGGUGCAGUGUUCAGGUAUUUUCAUCCAAAGUCGGAACCAUGAAUCAAAAAAGGCAUGUUGCAUUUUAACCUCGAAGAUUUGAUCACUACUUGCUAGUGCUCCUCAAUGAAUAAAGAGAGAGGAGGAUGAAUUUUUUAAUGAACCACUACUUGCUUCUACCUUUUCUUAUCAUUUUGUCAUUGGUACUUCGGUGAUGGUCAAGGACAACAAUGCAACAAUGACGUUUUAGAUCACUUUGAACUCUACAAUUUUGGUAUAAUGAAUGUCUUGAUUAGACUUCAUAUGAAAAAGUUAUGAUUUUUUUUUUGCGAAACAAUUGAAACCUACCUAUUACUCUGAUUCAUGGCUACAACGCUAGUAAUAUAGUAACGACCAGGGAUAGAUAAGGUUUUCAUUGCCGAUUCAUGGCUACAACAAGGAGUGGUAUAUCACUACCGAUUGUAGCUAUGAAUUAACAGUGAUACAUUAUCACUGCUGGUUUCAAAGCAACGAUUAGUAGUGUUUUUAGCUUUGCCCCUUUGAUCACUCCAAAAAGGAGGCUCUGCACAAAUGAAACUUCUUUUCUGUAGGUAGCCAUUGGUCACACCAGGCCCAACAUUGAGCGAAGGAUGUAGGUACAUUAUUAUCUCCAGUUCCUUUAGCUACCACUGCCCAAAUCACUUCUGCAAUUGGACAAGUCAAAAAGAGAUGGCCAAUCGACUCAUCCAGAUCACAAAAAUGACAUGUUGGACUUCCAGUCUAUUUCCUCCUAAUAAGAUUAUCUUUUGUUAACAGGCAUCAUAUUGGUCAUAGCCACAUAAAGAAUUUAUCUUUCGAUGAGCUUUACCCUUCCUAAUUCUUUUCUGGAAGGUCCAGCAUCAUUUUUCUAAUCAGAUCACUAUACAUAGAUUUCAGGGAAAAGCGGUUGUUUUUUCAAGUCUCCAAAUAAUCACAUCUUUAUUCUCUUGGACUAGAAAAGUAUUCACAUCAGACUUAAUUUUAUCCCAGCUUGUCUGUAGUUCAUCAGUAACCAUCUUCUAAAAGUGAUUUGAAUUUUGCCAUUUUUCACAUUAGCUACUAGUAGCUUCUUUUUGUUCGCAUAGGAUGAACAGAAUAGGAACAACUGUGUACAAAGGUUUUUCAUAUAGCCCAGGAUCAGACCAGAAUCUAGCAUAAUCCUAAUGCUUCUGCCCUGUCAUACAAUAUAGGGGAAUCAAUGCUUUGUGAGUUACAGAAAAGAUGGAUUUAUCCAGGCGAGGAUCCACCCGCUAGGAUGGUCAGGAUGAACAUAUAU